CAGUGGAAAUCUAUCUCUUGACAAGUAUAAACCUGCUUCCUAUUGGGAUAGGAGCAGGGACAAGCCAAGAAGGGCAUCAUGUGAAGGUGAUACUUGAAGUGAUUGAUCUUGAAAAAUGAUUCUCGUUAUGCUAAAUAUAUUUGUUUACCCUCCUAUUUUUUAUGUUUUCUUUCUACUUUUUCCAUUAGGAAGUGUCGGUGCUACAUAGGUAUCUGUCUAUAGUAGAGUGAAAGUUGUAUAAGUAUAUAGAGAAGCUUUUGAUUUUGUUUAGAGAAAUUAUGUAAAACAAGUGCUUCAAUGAACUUAAUUGAUUACACUUGAGAGAUUUCUGUGAUCUACAAAUGGAUGAAAUUGAAAUAGCUUAUUGUAAGGUGGUCCAACUCUCUCUCUCUCUCUCCAAUUGUUGAAUGUGCAUGAACUUGCAUGUGAUGAGAAGAAAACAAACAUGUGAUCAUGAUUGUCUUCUGAACUAGAAAACAAUGAAAAUGAUAACACAUACCACAGUUACCUUUAAACAUUAAUGUAGUGUAAAAUCAGAGAUGUCAAUUUUUUCUCUCUUUUUGAAUUUUCAACUUCUGAAGCAUUUAAGAUCAAAUUUAAAAACCAAGUUGGCUGAUGUUGACAAUGUCAUAUCUUUUUUUGAAUUCUUGAUUUCUGUAGCUUGUAAAAGAGACUUCAUUGGUUAUGUAUAAAAAACAUUUUGUUGGUUGGAUGAUGAUGACAGGGCUGGGCGAUUGAGACAUAAAUAGUAGUAAUACAAUUGAGAAACAUGUCAUGUGAGUGUCUUGUUUCUCUGUUAUGUUUUGGCAAGUUCUUAUGUAAACAAUGUAACAUCACACUUUAUCCUGAGGACAACUUGGUCUGAAUCUUGUCCAUACAUGUAUAUCUUUUACUCAUUACAGAUCAACAUCAACAAAAAUGUUCGCAGAACCUACGACUAUAAUUCCUCCAGUAUUGUUCGGGAAUCAUGGAAAAUAACGUUUUAUUCAAUUUGUGUUAAGCAACAGUGCUAUUUUGCUUAUGUAACUGUUAUUUGACAACAUUUUGUUAUACAGCUAUGAGUGAGACUGAGCACCACUAAUUAACAAAACUGAUUUAUAGCAAUUUUUAAAUUAAUUUCAAUAAGCAUGCCUUCACUCCUCAUGGGAUUAUAAAUCUCUUUCGACCUUUUUUCAUUACCCAGCCAUGAACCAAAGACCUCAAGGUUGAGGCAUAUACCUCCUCAUGGGAUUAUAAAUGUAUAUGGGUAAAAAAAAAACAGAUUUUAACAUAUAUAAGAAAUCUAAAAAGUCUAGAAGUCCUAGCUCAAAUGCCGAAAUUGCAAGGCUGGACGUCGUGACCCAGGUUCGAACCCGGGACCUCACAGUUGUGUGUGAGUUUAAUUUCAGUGAUUUACCACUUCAUUUAUGACCAAAAUGAACUUUUUUUAGUUUAGGGGAUAAUGAUUUUUAAGUUGUUUGAUGAUUAAAUAUAGGGUUAAUAGUAUUUUUCACCCUUGUAAUAUAUGUCAUAUUCGGUUUUCGCCCCUAUAAAAUUUUCGGUUUGAUUUUCACCCUCGUAAAAUUUUUAUUUUCCGGAAAACACCCUUAAUAGGCCAUCCAAAAACCAAAAUUUCUUGAAAAAAAAUUCUGAAAAUGGCCUAUUAGGGGUGUUUUUCGGAAAAUAAAAAUUUUACGAUGGUGCAAAUCAAACCGAAAAUUUUAUAGGGGCGAAAACUGGAAAUAACAUGUAUUACAGGGGUGAAAAACACCAUUAACCCUUAAAUAUAUAAUUUUUAUGUAAUUGUAAUUUUCCAUGAUCCACGAACAAUAUAAUUUAAUCAUAAAAAAAACUUAAAAAUCUGUCUCCUGAACAAUAUAAUUUUUAUGUUGCUUAGCAAUCAAAGAACACAGUAAGAAUUACUUUUUUCAGGUCAGGACGAACCCAAAUGCAAAACUCUUGCAUUGAUGAGCAUGAUCAACAAUAUCCACAAUAUUUUUUCUUUUCUUCCUAGAUGAAGUGGCAAAUACUACUGAAACUCACACACACAAUUAUGGAAUUUUGGAUUCGAAUCCGCUUGAAGGCGCCUAACCUAACAAUUUCGGCAUUCCCUGUUGAACUAGUCUUUACGGACCAAUAACCACAACUUACGGAUUAACCCUAAUAUUAGUUCAUUGGAACCGAUUACUUCCUUUGUUGAGUCGUUUGAAGAAAUUUUCACGUAUUGAAUUAGACAGAUAUAAGAGCUAAGCAGUGACUAAAGUAUCAAAUAAAGUUGUUUAUUCUGAUCUAAAACUACUUACCCCAUCAAAAGCUAAAACCAAAAAACCAUUUCUAUGACAAGUUUGGAAGUGAGGCACUGCUUCAAUAUGUCAUAAAAUGAUAGACAUGGAUAUAACUCAAAAUCUCUAAUAAAGAUAAUCAUCAUUAAGGAAAUAAAAACAAUGAAGAUGAUCUUUUUUUUUUUGGUCAAGUGAAGUGGAUCUUUUAACUACAUGAAAGAAAAGAUCAUAUAUAUUUGAAAAAAAUUAUGCCACAGAGGACAAAAUGAAACAAAGUUGUGUAUUUCUAACCAUCAAAUCCUACUAUAUGUAGAACCAAAUAAAAAAGUAGACAUAUAGGAUCUGUUGUUGACAUGCCCUAUGGCCAUUAUGAAACAAAUAUAAAUUUACAUGUUGUAGAGGGCAUUCAUAUCUAGGAAGUGAAUCCCCUCAAAUAACAUGGUGUGUAGCACUUUUGAAUUUUGCAUAAUAUAUUUUGCGAAUUGAAACUCAAGUUCCCAACCUCUGUAACCUCUAAGGCAAGAUGUUUUAAGCUGUGAUGAAAGACAUUUUGAAACAAUUUGUGGAUCCUUCUAACUUUCGUCGCCCAACUCGCCUUGAUCUACACCCUAUCAACGAUUCACGUAUUUCUUUGGUUUUGAAAAAAUAAAAUACAUGGAAUUAUACUUAAAAAAGAAAAGAAUCACAACCAAACAAAACCUCAAUGGUAAAAUGUUGAAGUUUGGGGCAACAUUCAAGCACUUUUAGCAACCAAUUCCACCUAUUAGGCCAAUAUACAUAGUCAAAUUUUAGCUCAAUGUUGGUCGGCUUAUGAAACAUGGGAAACUUGGUACACCAGGACCAUUUGCUGUGCAUAGAUUACACAAGACACAAUAUUAGACAUGUAUAGAAUGAAUGAUUAAAUCGUAAUUUUAACAAACCAUAAUUUAUUUUGAAAGAUGAUAUAUUCAUACCAAAUGUACACAUUGACUCUCCACAUUACAAACGAAAGUAAUCGGAAAUCUAUAAUAAAAAAUCUUUGCUCAAAUCAAAUAAGGCAAGGCCUUAAACUUUUCUUCCUUUGGAAGAAGAGAAUGCAAUAUAUGUAAAUAUAUUAUUUGCAUAUCUCCUAAAAUAGGAGAACAUAAUAGAAGUUUCACAAGAUGUUCAUGACGGAUAUAGACUUUGUUUAAAUGGAGAGUUUUGAGAAGAGGUAAAUACACUUGAUGAGAAAGAUCUUUCACCUUUAGCCAUUCCAAUUUAAGAAUCUUAAGCGUCUUAAAACUAAGAAGGCUAAGGCUUAAUUCAAUGGCAAUGCUGAUGUUAAGGUUCUCAAUUCCUCGUUGCAUGGCAAAGUUAAAAUAAAUCUAUUGACAUCAUAUGGAUCACAACAGUUGUUGUUGACACAUUUGAAGCAAAACGAAAGCGCACAUAAUUUUGAAAGGAGAAAGUCUUUGAAGGUUUUGUCCUCAAAGUCGAGAGAUAAGACUGAAGGUCAUACCGACUUCCACCUCGUUGAGAGGAUGCUUGUGGUGGCCGUGUGUUUGGUAGGAAGAAAAGAGAGAAUGAGACAAAUAAUUGUAAUAUGUAUUUAUUUAUUUUAUGAUUUUUCAUAUGUUUCUUCACUCCUAGGAAUAGGAAGUAAUCAUAUUCAAGGGGUGUUGGACACUAAAUGUCGAUACUUCUCCCAAUCAAAUUUGAAUCUUGAUUCACCAUAUUAUGGUAGUUUAGCCUCUUCAGCUAAACUCAACCCACAUUGAUAUUAUAUAUUUAUUUAUGUUACAUGUGUAUGUUUGAUAUUAGUAUGAUAGAUUGUUUGUUCGCUUUUCUCUUAAAGACUACAAUCGAGCCAAUGAAAGUUGACUCUAUUGAUAAGAAGUUAACUCCUCUGCAUUGUUAUGGGUUCAAUUCACACUGCCAAUGUGAAGACCUUGAUAGGUGAUUUAUAAAUACCUCUAUAAGCGUUUUUUGAGCAUUGAGACCUACUCUGACCCUGGUAAGCCCCCGAAAGUCGAAACCCAAAUUACCUAAAAAAAUUCUCAUAAAAAAAAAAAAAAAGAAGACCAUUGUCGACAUUCAUCAUGGUGAAGACUAAGAUUGAAGUUUUAGACGAAAUUAUACCUUUAGUAUUGGUAUUCUUAUUUUAAUUGCUACAUUUUUAAUUGAAAAUAGAAUUAAGAUUAGCUUGGAUUUAACUCUUAGGGGUUUAUUUGGUGGUGAAGACUUGGACCUUGUGCUUCUCUUUAGAUCUUUGAAAACGCAGUAUUAUUACUAUUUACAUAUAUUGAUUCACAAUCUUAAAUAGUGAUGCUGGGAAAAUACAUAGACAAACUUGUUUCGUACGAUAGAACAAAUUGUUUACUAAAGAUAGUGUUGCUCUCGCUGCUGAAAAAUUGUCCUCAAUUAAUUCUAACAGAUUACAUGGUUCAGACAUAACUGUCUGCUGUACUCAUUUUGUAAAUUGCAAAUGGUACAUCUUACCAACCUUUCUAUAAAUUGCAACUACUCAGAGGGAACACAAUAUUUCCUUUUAUAUCGAACCCAAAUUAUCCAGAAAUGGUCUAGCUCCAAUUUAUUCUAUCGCUUCUUCCUCAUUCUAGACCUUGCAUAUCUAGAGAGCACAACCAAGGAAAGAAAAAAAGAGUUAGAAAUGUGAAGUAUCCAACAUAACUGAAAAAAAUCGAUAAAAUCCAUUAGGUUAGAAAAUACUCUAUGUGCAUGCCACCCCGAUCUGAUGAUGGAAGCGAGCUUCCCUGAAGCUCCUCCAUGACCUUAACAGCUUGAUCAAUUUCCUGUCAAAAGAAGAAAGGUUGAUAAGAUCAUUGAUAAAUGAGCGAAAAUUCAGGGCAAGGGUUAUUUGAUAAAUUUGGUAUACUUAGUUAUACUUCAAGUGACGGCAUUGAAAAGGCAGGGGUGAAUACUAGGUAAUCGCAAUCAAGAGAGAAGGUUGGACAAGAUCUUGUUUCUUUUAAAUAAAUGCUGAAUGGAUAAGAAGUGGAAAAAAAUCAACUAAAAAGUAAUAUCAAACAACCAUGUCCAAUUCAACGGAGGUAUGCGUAUGCCGCGUUCUUAUAAUUUUAAUUAACAGUCGAUUGUACAGGAAUCAUGAGACAAUAGUAACAUAGUACAAAGUUGUCCAAUUGAUAUUUUUUUGCACCUAGUGAUGGUCAGAUUUUGUUCCACUAUACCAUUAUUGUCAGCUGAAGUUGCACAGCUAUACUUUCCAGAUAAAUUUCAUACCACAACUGAUGUGUGCCAAUAUGAAAAUCAAAAUUCCCGAAAAAAUGUUUUAAACUUAUGACACAACUCAAAGACUAUGAUCAACUAUCAUGUAUUAUGUUAUAUAUAUAUAUAUAUAUAUAUAUAUAUAUAUAUGAGAAGGGAUCCAUUGACUCCAAGAGUAAGUCUAAAGACUUACUCCAAAUCAUAACCAUUGGCAAUCUCAAACAACCCAACACGAGUGAGACGAAGGCAAUCUCAAAAUAAACGGCGUGUGCUUGUAAUUACUAUUGAUUCGUACAUGAUAUGCCUUCAAUCCCAAAUAAUUUGGCUUUGGAAGAAUGUAAUUCGGUGAUACCUGUGAUUUAUUUCUUCAAUUCUUAGGUUUAUAUGAUCUUUGUGAAUAAAAAACACCUGAUUCUAUUAACAUCACAGCCAUCUGUCGGUCAGAAUAAAAAAUACUCUUCAAUUGGAUUCAAUAAAAACAAUUCUUGCAGAGAUAAUGAUAAUCAUGGUGUCAUACUCUAAUUAUUUGAGAUUUUCGUUUCAGCAGUAGUCUCGUGUACUGUUCAGGAGAAGGGACUAUAAAAAGGUUCACGCUAAGCAUUGAUAUAAUCAAUCACAACCAUUAAUUAAUAUCAAAAUCAAUGGUUAUGAUUUGGAGUAAGUCUUUAGACUUACUCUAGGAGUCAAUGGAUCCCUUCUCUCUCUCUCUCUCUCUCUCUCUCUAUAUAUAUAUAUAUAUAUAUAUAUAUAUAUAUAUAUUUUAUAUAAUAUGUUAUACUUAAAAGUAGAGUUUUUUUUUAAAAGAGCCCAGCACAUCAUUCCAAAGAAAAGAGUAACUGAAGAACUCAUGAAAAGAAUAGGGCCAAAGAUUUACUGUUGUAACCCUCAAAUUGUUUAUGGUUAACUCCAUAAUUUCCUCUCUCCCCCUUUCCUAUCUGACAUCCACACACAAUGUAUGAAUAUUAUAAAUGUCUAUCUAUUCUACCAAUAAUGCCAAUAGUCAUUGAGAUAUGUAAUGAUUAACAUCAGUUAACAAAGCUUAAAGUGAUGCCUACUAUUUGUACCAAUGAUGCCUAUUAUAUGAACAUGAAAAUUAAAAGAUAUGAGCUAUGUGAUAAUAACUUUCAAGUUUUCAAUACAACAUUGAAUUUUGUCAUAAGUAGAAUGCAAAGUUGACUAAUCUCAUCGUUGAAUUCCAAGUUCAUAUAAAUUACAUCAAGCUUAAAAGCAAUUUAUGCAAAUAAAAAUUGAUACUUCAUCUUAUUGUUUUAACUUAACAGAUAAUAUAUAAUUUAAAAUGCAUGAAAAUAUUCCUUGUUAGAUAACAUACAGCGUCCAAAUUACUUAUAACCAGCAAGAACAGUUGAGUUACCUCAAAAUCAGCAAAUGCUACAGGCAUUCCUCCUCUAGAACGCAUUUUGACCAAGUUGAAUCCAGCAUACCUGGAAAAAUGGAUUGAAGACAUCAAGUUUGAUAAUCAAAAUGAAUUAGAUGAUGAACAAUGUAGGAUUUAGAUUUAACAAGAACAAGCGGGUUGAAUGCUUUUCCAAUUUCAGAGGUCCUUGACAAAUCCAUGAAUAAAAAAAUAGAAGCAACAACUCACACAGAUAAAGCUUGCUUUAAUUCAUCCUCAGUGCAGUUUGGACCAAGAUUUGCAAUAAAAAGAGUGGAACAUGGUCCUCCAUCACCACCACCCUUUCCAUGUUGCGCCUGCAGCCAAUUUGAAAACAUCAUAAUAAUACAUAUGGCAUAAGUACUUAAUGGGAAAGUGAAAAGAAAUAUUUUACAAACUAUACAAUAUUCAUUUUAUAUUUUUGAAAUUAACUACACAAUCUAACAUGUUUCGUAAUGGUUUGGCCGAAAUGCAGAGAGGAACAAAAUCUGAGUGCAGCAUUUGACGAGAGAAAGAAUAUUGGAUAUUUUAUGUCUUCUAUAAAUGCAAAGAGAUAAAGAGUUCCAAUUUCCAACAUAUUGCUAAUGCUGGGUUUCACUUACCCUUGCCACAGGUACAUGAUUGUCAGAACCAACAACUGCAUCACCACUGCACACAAUCAGAAAAUAUUAUAUUCUCAGUGAACAAAUUGAAAAUUUCGAAAAAUUGUGUAUUUUUAUCUUUCAUUUUUCGUUUAUGUUAACAAUUUGCACAAUUUUGAACUUUUUAGGUAUGGAAAACAGCAUUAAAAUUAAUUCCAUUCUCAACCUUUGCGCGGUUGCUAUAUCGCCAUGGUUGCUGCCAUUUUCUGAUGGUUCAUCAGGGUCACUUUCACCUAAAUGUGAAAACAUGUGCAGGUGAGCAACAAAAAUAAGAGGGGAAAGAGUGUGAAACCAAGCUACCUUUUCCUACUUAAAUUCUAAUAUAACCUACCAGAUUGAAAGGGACAAAUAGGUGUGGAUGUUUUAUAGAGAGUCAACAAUAAAAUAGUACUCCCUCCGUUCCAUAAUAUUUGAGCCAUUUGCAAAAAAAAAGUGUCUCAAAAUAACUGAGUCAUUUCACUUUUCAAUACAAUAUUAAUUACUUUUUUUCCCUUUAUAACUCUAAUUAAUACUACUUUCAACACUCCCAAUUCAAUAUAUUCCACUUUGCAUUUAUGAUAGUGGAGAAUGCACCAAUACUUGACAAAAGCACUUAAAACCAUUUUUCUCUCUCCUUCAUUUAUACAUUUGUCUUAAUAGGUGUGAAAUGAGCAAAUGGCUCAGUUAAUCCGGGACGGAGGGAGUAGCAAGCCAUAUCAUCAUAGUCAUUCAGAAUAAAUAAUGUCUAUGUCACAUUGAACUUGUAAUGAAAGAAACUUUACCAUCAUCACUUGACGAUCCCUGAACAUUGGCUUCCCCCUUUGACCUUUUGUCUAUAACCACGUAAGCUCCACCACCUGUGCAUGCAAAAUAAAACCACUAAUCAUCAUCCUGGAAAAACCGUAAAAUUAUAAGUUUGGAAAAGCUUAUUUACUUUUAGCAACUAAUAUUGGCUUAUCUUAUGUCAUAGCAUUUGUGUAAGUUCUUGGAUUAAGCUUAUAAAGUAGUUUAACUUUAUCACAUGUCUAUAAGAAGUUUUCAGUUUACUUCAAUAAGAUGUUCCCGACUGCUUAUGAAAACAACUUACAGUUUAUAAGAACAGAGUUUAACUUAAUGUCAUCUAUGAUUACAGAAACAACUAAUACAUAAUCAGUUUUAUGAUUAGUGUUUAUUCAAUAUGUGCUGGAUUAAGUUGUUUACCCGAACAUAGUAUAAAACACAUAGAAUGUCUCCAUAAUUCAUCAAAAUAAAUAAUAAAUAAAUUGGGGAAAAUGGAAGAAAAAUAAUUUGACGGAAAAAAGGAAUGGAAUAAAAGUGAAAACAAGAUGAUAUCUAAUUCUAUAUAUGCAUUAUAGCUUGAAAGUUGAUAAUCUCAUGUCUUCCAUUCCUCGUAUAUUUUUUUCAUAUUCAUCCUACCAAUCAUGCAUAAUAUAUAUACCUGGUUUUCGCUUCCGCCUAGAGUUUGAUCUGGCAAGUUCAAUAUGUAAAACAGAUCCAGAUUGAGGAUCAAAUUUCACACCCUGACAAUAAAAAGAUAAAUUAGAUCGAAGAUCAACUUCUAUAAAUUGUAAACAUUUCCUCUUUUAUCUAUUAAACUACUACAUUUGAAUAACAAAUUUGAAACAUGUAUGAUCCACUAUAACUCCUAGGACUUCCUUUAGAGUAUGUGUCAAGUGAAGUCACUAAAAUUAACAUAUUCUGAUGAGAUGCACUUCAAAGCUUUUUCAAUAUCACUUUAGGAAGCAUUUGGUUAAAAAGUUUAAUUGAAUGUUAAUUUAAUGAGCAAUUUCAGAGAGAUUAAUUAAGUGCUCAUUCAUAAGUGGUUUCAAAAGAGCUCAUUGAAAAUACUCCCUAUGUCCCUAAAUAUAACCACCCAUUUGACAAAAAAAAAAAAAAAAACUGUCCCUAAAUAUAAGCCCAUUUUCAAAUUACAAGAUACAUUUAUUGUUUCUUUUCCAAAUAAACCCCAACUAAUACCAAUAAGUGUCUUGGAAUAUGAAAAGUCAAGAUUAACUUUAUACAUAUACAAAGGGUAUUUUAGGUACAUUUAUACAAAGGGUAUUUUAGGUGAAUAAGUGGAGAAUAUGGGGGUUCAAACCACACCGCUUGCAUAUAUAAUGCAAUGUUCGUCCUACCAAUUGAGCUAUGCUCACGGGACCACAAGCUUAUAGCUUUUUAUAACUAGAUUAUAGCGUUUUUAUAAGCUAUUUCAAGUAGCUUAUAGCUCAUAACAUAUCAUUCUUUCAUCUCAAAUUUUACCACUGUUAUCUCAAUAAAAAAAUAUAUAAAUACUCAUUAAAAAGAUUUUUAUGUCAUUUCAUAUUUUUCAUUUAAAUCAACGGUUAAUUUUACCAAUAACUACAAAUUCAUCCUUCUAACUUAUCCCCGCUAUAAGCUAUCCACUAUUGGAGAAAGUGGUAUCAAAACUUUCACUCCAAGGAACAUUAAUCAAUACAAAUAAUUUCGUAAAACUAAGCUAUCUAAUAUCUUGAACUUAAUCCCUAACUGUCAAUGUUCAUCACCGAUUUCAAUAUUUGAAACUAGAUACUCACAUUUAGGGAGUGCAACGCUUGCAUUGCUGCUUGAUGAUUGAAAAACGUAGCAAAAGCAACAACCUGAAAAUAAAACCGAAAUUUCAAUUAUCACAUUCAAGUUUCACAAGUUUUCAUCUCCGUUGAAAUUGAGUACCUGGUUGGCGCGGCCGGUAUACUUGAGUUGACAAGAGUCGAAGCCAGGGCGACGGCGGAAGAGGUUGUGAAUCUCACGCGCUUUCACGUCGUCUGGGAGACCGGAGACGAAGAGUGUGUUGAUGUUGCUCCGUUCGUCUUGUUGGUAGUGGUAAUACUGAUCAAAUUGUUGCAUAGCCAUUCCGAGGGUUGCGCUGGUGAAGAUGAAAGGGUGAGGUAAGUCGUUUGUGGCGGUGAUGACGGUGGCCGGAGAUGGAGGUUUGUGACUGCUCCGGUUAGGUAUAGUUUUGUAAAUGAAACGAAGUUCGUGUUUCGGUAUGUAAUGUGUCGUUUAUGUGGUUCGUUUUUUUCUCUUAAUUAAUUAACCAAUUAGUUCUUAAACGACAUUAAGUUUAUCUCCAUUUUUUUCAUUCAUGAUUUUUUAGAGUGAGUGAUCACUUUAAUAAAAAAUACAAAAAUUAUCUAAAUGUGUAUUUUGUUAAUCAAUAUAAUUUUUGGGUGUGUUUUUAGUUAGUUAGUUUGGUCUUCAAAUUUAUCUUCUUUUAGUUAACAUAUCAUUAAAAUUAUUAACAAAUAAUUUCCUAUAAUUUUGGUCGAGAAAAGCUCUGUGGACAUCUCAUUCACCCAACAACUAUGUGUCUCUGUCUUACAUUGUUUUGUGUCUCGAAGGGUGGAAAUAUUGUAUGUCUCAUAUUUUGAAAAUUAAUAUUUAAUAUCACAACAAUGUAUUCAUUUGAAUAAAAAAUUCGUGAUUUUGAAGUUUGAUAAUUUUGAUAUCUUUCUUUAACUAAUUAUUUUUGCUCAUCUAAAUAAUUUAUUUUAACCAUUUAUUCAUCAUCAAAAUACACUAAACUCACCCCAAUGAAAUGCAUAAGAUUCAUGUAUUGAAAUAAUCAUUUACACUUUCCUUGUUACUAAAGAAAACUCGACUUAUGUCAUUAAUAAAUACAAAAUUGGUGAAGGCAAGGAGAUGUAACCACAAACUUGAUAUCACUAACCCAAAAAUAUAUCUCUAACCAGGGACUGCGCAAUCAUAUUUAUUUGUUGUUUAACAAACUUAACCACUAAAUUCAUAUCAAGAGAUGACAAAGAGUAAAUUUAGUAAUAGUUAUAUAUAAAAUUUACAUAUUAAUUAUGGAUUGAUUUAAGUGGUAAGAGACUUGGGUCCUUCAAGUAUUUAGUUAGAAGUUUGAUUUUUGACUCAUGUGUAUAAAAAAAUCCGAUCGAAAAAAGAGAACUCGUUUUAUUUGUGGCACAAAUAACUAAAAAAAAAACAUAGAUAUAAUAGUUUUAAAAAUUACAUUAUCAACUUAUCAAAAUUAAUCUCGUUACACAAAUACAUUUAACGUUAACAAAUUUGAACCCAAACGUAUAGUGAUUUAUCAAAAAUUACAUAGUAAAAUCUUAGAUGUGAUCAUAAUUUCGUCAAACUGGCCAUAACUUUAAACAUGCACUAAUCAUUUUUAUUUUACCCAAUCCGCACACAACAAAAAUGAAAAAAGAAUGACGAUUGAAAUAAAUAAAAAAGAUUAAUAAACUAUUGAACAUAAUAGAUCAAAAUCAAGAAGCAACAGAAACAAUGACUUCUUCUUCUUCCUCAAAGAACAAAUCCUCUGUCUUCCUAAACACACCAUGUGCCACCACAACCACAGUGGCAACACUAACCGCAACAACAAUAUUAACAGUAGCUUGCGUAAGAAGCAACAAAGCCACCGUAACAAACGCCAUGAGAACAACCACAAUUCGAUCAUCAACAAGCCGACCCCAUAAAAUCACCGGCUGAUCACGGAGGAAGUAGAAGAACAACCAUGCCGCCAUUAGGAUAACGAAAACAAUGAGUGAGUAAGGAUGCCAUAAAAGGCUCAGAAACAAAAUCAAAAGCAUCACCAUAGUGUAGUUCAUGCGGAAGUAUGAGAUGUUGACACGAACACGUGAAAUUGCUUCCGGUACACCAGUGGGGAUGCCGAGUGACCGGAUAUCGAACAUGGUUUUCCACGGUCGACGAGUUCCUAAGCCGGCCUUGAUCCGUUGUUUGCCACGUGUUAUGUAUUCAAGUUUUGGUGGUGUUGGUGAGGUUGGGAUUGUGCCGUAGGUUGAUGUCAUGGUGGUGGAAACAACCAAUGCAAAAAUUGUAAUGUAAUUGCAAUUUGGAACGAACAAUAUAAUGAAAUGGUUACUACUUAUUAGAGUUUAAUAAUUAUAGGAGCAAUUGGGUCCUACGAUUUUGUGAGUUUGUUUAUGCUUUUUAUUUUUAUUUUUAACAUAUGAGUGAGUGUAUUAUUAUGGUUUGGAAGGAUGGGAUGUGGAUAUGGUAAUAAUUUGAGUUUUUGAUUUGGUUUUUGCUAUUGGAUUUGCAUUUCUUUUUGUGAGUUAGAUAGGUAGAUGUUUGAUAUGUUUGUUUCCAAACGAGUGAAGACAUUCAUAGUAUAAGUUUUUGUUCUCGAAUUUGGAAGGUGGUUGGUGUUGCUUUCUUCCUUGGUUGUAAUGUUGAACCUAUUUCAUGAGAGAAGAAAACUCUUGCACUUCAAUAUUUAGUUACUUAGUUAAUCAGAAAAAAAUUUGAUGUGUUUUUGUUGAGUUUUCCUUACACAAGCUUUGGCCAUGUGAGUGAUUUUUUCCAAUUCAAAUCUUUCUAUUUAAGAUUUGGUCCGACGCAACCCACUUGGACUGGCCUUUUAGCGUUGGCUUGAAAAUUUGCGCUCCUCUUAAAGAUUUAGGUUCGAUUCUUUUCGAUGUCAAUUUGGAUUGGAUAGCUUGACUUUUAAAAAAAAAACAAAGAUUUGCACCUACACACGUGAUCAUGGGGUUGCAAAUUUUUAAAUCCUCGUAAUAGACAUUAAUUUUUUUUUGCUUUCACUUGAUCAUAUGGUUAGUUUAUUUGAAGGCAAACAAAUGAAGAUGCCAUGCUUAGCUGGGGCCUGGGACGGUCACAAAUUUAUCUGGCUUUUAGAAUAUUUGUAACAAUCCUAUAUGUAGUAACUCUGUUAUUAUUUAAAAAAUUUAUUUUUAAAUUUUAGAUUUUAAGAUUGAGCCCUACUUACUAUUACAAAUUACUCUCUCCAGUUUAAUUUAUACAUAAUAGAUAUUUCGGUCUACAAAAAAGUUUAUAUAUCUGAUUCAAAUUGGAUUAAAUAGAUAAUUUUUAUUGACUUAAAUACCUCUUAUAAAUAGUAUCACAAUUUUAUUUUUUUUUAAACACAAAUAGUAUCACAAUGUUUACUAAAGUAGAUCAUGUACAUUAUUAAACUUACUAUUUUUCUAUCCUGAGCCACGAAAGUAGAGGUGAAAAACAACGAGUAAUUAUCGGGGAUCAAUUUAGUAACCCAUGUUUCAUGUCAAACAGGUUGUGGUUUUUAGUAUUUGUUUUUCUGUAAACGACAGAGAGUAGAAGUAGUAAGAUGAUUGGAUAGUGGGAUACAAAAACUCAUCUUUGCUUUAUUUCAUCUCUUGAAAUGAUCCCACACUUUCCAACUAAUCACACUACAUUUUGUAGUGACAGCAGAUCAUGGCUCGAGAGUCGAGAAGCUUAAGGCAAGUGAGAGCAUAAGCCUUAAACCCCACCUUCAUCUCCCAUUCCCUAUUCAAAAAUAGCAAUAGUAGUGAAUGUUUAGUAUCAUUUAGGUUUAUCGAAAUCACGGUGAGUCAAUGUGACACGGUGAUAUCAAACAUCCACGUAGUUUUAUACUGAUCUAAGACACUAAUUCUCUAGUCAAAUGUUAUUUAUUGUUGUCUAAAUGUUUAUAUAUUAAUCAAUUUGGUUUUACCUUCGUUAUUAACGUGAAAACCUCUUUGAUAGAUGAUAUGUACAUAAUCUAUGUAAGCAUUUUUUGAGUCUUGAGGUUUGCAUCAUAAUGGUAAGUCCCUCCAGAUCCAUCUCACCAAAAUUUACUUUUAUAAAAAAAUAAUAUUUUACUGUCUUAAUAAAUCAGCAAUUUUUAAUUGAUCAAGAAUUCAAGAUAUGAUUUAAUAAUGUACCGAAAAUUAUUAUUACAGUUCUUGGUACGUAAUAAUUAUUGUUUCAAGUAUUUUUACUUGUACUUAUUGAUUACGGUAAAUUCAUACCGUGAUUCAGGCUCAAGAAACUUUAGCUUCAAAGCUAAAACUUGUAAUAGCAAAUACUUCAAGGUUGGAUUGGGUUUGUAUGUGAGUGCAAAGUUAUACAAGUCUUCUCUAGUUGCUAACUUUCAAUUGAAUUCCAAGGUUCCAUUUAAAUUUUCUUUUACAACUAGUAACUUAACUGGCUUAUAUAUGUAAGGUAAUAUGCAAUAAUUGAUAAAGGUAAAUUGACUCAAAUUAUUUUUCAUGUCUAAACAAAUUCAAUAGUUUUGUAUCUCUCGGUUCAUUUAUUUGUUGUAAAUAUUUCAAGUAGUAAAUUAAAGAAAUGGAGGAGACGCCUACCCUUCUGCAUGGAACAAUUGAAGCUACCAUCUUCAAUGCCUCACCCUACACAUCAUUUUUCCCCUUCAAUGUGAGUAUCAUUUCACACAAAAAUACACAGACUUGGCACCUACGUAUGUAUAAUGGUGUGGUCACAACUCACAAGUUUCCGAUUCAGUUUUUAUAAAAUUCGAGAGUCAAACCAAAACCAACUCGAUCAAAUCCGAAAUAGUUUUUAUGACUUGAAACCCAAGAUAAGACCUCACAAACCAAACCAGUUGACAUUUACGUUUUUUUUUUUACAUUUAUAUACCUUAUAUUUAUCGAUUGGUGAGACAUGUAAGGAUUAAAUACCUUAGUUUCUUUCUAUUUUUUAAGUUGUUGAAUUUUGACUUUUAAGUGCUACAUUGUUUUAAGAAUAAAAAAAUUAUAACAACAUAGUUUAUGGUUUAUGACCCAAUCGAACUAGUUUGAUUUGGGUAUAACGAAAAAAUUGUGUAUUAUUUUCCAACUCGAAAGAGAAAGAGAAAACAUUGAUGGGUUUAAGUAAUGAAUUUUGUCUAAACCAACCCUUGUAACCCCUAUGUAUUGUAUAUUGCUCUACUUUAAAAGUUUUUUGGUGUAAUCAUAAACUCAUAACAUUGCAUGAAUUUCCCCUAUUUUCAGUGCAUAUGUUCAAAUGGAGAGCCUGCUUAUGUAACCAUCAAAGUAGAUAACAAGAAGGUUGCAAAAACAAGCAAAGAAAGAAACCGUAUUUGGAACCAAACCUUUCAUAUUCAAUGUGCUCAUCCUUCUGAAUCAGUUAUCACCAUUACAUUGAAAACAUUAGAUUCAAAUUUAGGAAAGUACCAUAUCAAGGCCCAACAACUUUUAAAGGAAGGAAGUAUAAUCAAUGGAAUAUUUCCUCUCCUCAUGGAAAAUGAAAAACCAAACCCUAAACUUAAAUUGAAAUUUAUAUUAUGGUUUAAGCCUGCAAAAUUGGAACAAAGUUUGGCAAAGGUACUAAGCAAUAAUGAAUUUCAAGGGUUAAAGGAUGCAAAAUUUCCACUAAGGUCUAAUUGUCAAGUCAAACUUUAUCAUGAUGCUCAUCAUUCUCCUACCUUCCAACCUCCCUUUGAUCCAUGUGGUACUCCAAAAAAUUUAUGGGAGGAUGUUUAUAAAGCCAUUGAGGGUGCAAAGCAUAUAGUUUAUAUUGCAGCUUGGUCCCUAAAUCCCAAGAUGGUUUUGGUAAAUUUACUAACUCUGCAUUUUUUAUUUCACUUUUAAGAGAGUCAAAAGUAAUUCUAAAGAGUAAAAAUUUAUUUUAAUUUCAUUGAAGGUUCACAAUUAGAAUUGGUUUUGCAUACAAGAUUGAUUGUAUCUUUUUUUCGACGAAAAAAAAAAUGGAUUCUAACUCGAAGCUAGAAUAUGUAGCUUUGACUUCUAAAUAUAAUUUUUACACUAUAUAUUGAUAAUUUUAUCUUAAAUCCACUUUUAAUUAAAGUCAAUUUUUGCGAUUCACAUGCAUAUUGAACUUUGUAGUGACAAAAAUUCAUUUUAAAUUGAUUGAUUUUGUAAAAUUGAUUUUUGCUAAAAGUGAGUUGAACAAUUAAUUUGAGGUUAACGGUUUAAUUGUAGAGGUAAAAACUUCAAGUUAGAAUCAAUUCUAAAAGCAAACAUACAUGUUUAGAUUCACUUUUUGGAGAGUCAAAAGUGUUUCUAAAGGCUUAAAAUUGAUUUAGUAUGUUUGGAGCUUUUCAAUUACAAUUAAUUUUGUCUUUAUAAUUGAUUCUAACAUAAAGCUAUGAUUUCUAAAUUUUGUCUACAAACAUGUUUUUUUAUACUUGUUCAAUUCAUUUUCAUGAAAAUGAAUCGUACAUAAAUCAUUUUAUCUUUAACUUACUUUUAAAUACAAUUAAUUUUACAAAAUUCAUUCUACUCAAACACACACUAAUCAAUAUCAUUUCAUAUUUAGUUUUUACAAUGAUCAUACAUUGUUUGAGCGUCUUUGCUUAUUUGACAGGUAAGAGAUCCACAUACAGAAAUCCAACAUGCUAGAGGAAUGAUUUUGGGUGAGCUAUUGAAGAAGAAAGCAGAUGAAGGAGUGGCUGUGAGAGUUAUGAUUUGGGAUGAUGAAACAUCAUUGCCCUUUAUUAAGAACACACAUGAUGAGGAUGCUGUUACAUAUUUCAACCACACAAAAGUAAUAUGCAAAAACUGUCCUAGAUUACACCACAAAUUCCCAACACUAUAUUCUCACCAUCAGAAAACUAUCACAGUAGACACCAAAGUGCCUAAAUCUGUUAGUGAUAGACAAAUUAUGAGCUUUGUUGGUGGAUUAGAUUUGUGUGAUGGUAGAUAUGAUACUGAACAACAUUCAUUGUUUCAAACACUCAUUAAGGAAUCACAUUGUUAUGAUUUUUACCAACCAAACAUUCAAGAAGCAAACCUUAACAAAGGAGGACCAAGAGUGCCUUGGCAUGAUGCUCAUGCUUGUGUUAUUGGUGAGGCUGCUUGGGAUGUGUUAACAAAUUUUGAGCAAAGAUGGACAAAGCAAUGCGAUCCUUCGCUUCUAGUCCCUACGAGCACCUUGGUUAAUCUCAUUCCUCAAACAAACUCAAACACUUCAAUAGAAACUAAUUGGAAAGUUCAAGUUUAUAGGUCUAUUGAUCAUACUUCUGUUGAUGAUUUUUGUGGAAAUUUCAAUGUGGAGAGUACUAUCCAUGAAGCUUAUGUUGAAGCAAUUAGGCAUGCUGAGAGGUUUAUAUACAUUGAAAACCAAUACUUUAUUGGAGGAUGCCAAUGGUGGGGAAAAGAUAAGCAAUGUGGAUGCACAAAUCUAAUUCCAAUUGAAAUUGCACUUAAGGUGGUAAGUAAGAUCAAAGCAAAAGAGAGAUUUGCAGUGUAUAUAGUUAUACCAAUGUGGCCAGAAGGAGUGCCUGAAAGUGAAUCUGUUCAAGAUAUAUUGCAUUGGACAAGAGAAACUGUGGCAAUGAUGUAUAGAUUGAUUGGUGAAGCAAUUAAAGAAAGUGGUGAAAUAGGACAUCCAAAAGACUACUUGAAUUUCUUUUGUCUUGCAAAUAGGGAGCAUAAGGGAAAAGGAGAGUAUCUUCCAUUGGAUUCUCCUUAUCCUGAAACACAAUACUGGAAUGCACAGAAAAAUAGAAGAUUCAUGGUUUAUGUUCAUUCCAAGCUCAUGAUAGGUAAUAUUAUUAUUCUGUUAGUGUUUAUUUAUCAUUAUUUUAUUUUCCACUUUUUGGUCUUUACAUGUACAUUACUCAAAGGAAAUUUGCAUACUUGUGUCCCCGACCUCAACUCGGUUGCACCGUUAUUCUGAGGUAUUAUCCAUUUUUGAGUCUUGUGUGAGGUAUCACAAUUUUGUCUUUAGUUAAAAGACAUUUAGGUGGGUUGAGAAGAGUAAGUGUCUAUAAACCACUCUUAGCUUCGAUUUCCAAAUAACGUGGGACUAAAGGUUAUGUCAACCCUCGCGUGUGGCUUAAGUCCUUCUAAAAUCUAACUUCCAAGUAUUUUUUGAGGUAUUGUUUGUUUUUGGUCUUGUGAGCUCUCACGAUUUUGUCCUUAAUUAAAAGACGUCUCGGUGGAUUGAGAAGAGUAUAUGUUUGUAAACUAUCCUUAGCCUCGAUUAUCAUGAAAUUUGAAAUUUUUGGUGAACCGAAAGAAACACAUGGUGAUAAUGACUAAUAAUAAACUUACAGGUGUUUUUACCUUUUUGAAUUCAUGCACCUCUUCUUCACCAAAUUCAUUUCCAAUAAUUUUUUUUCUCAAGGCAUGUAAUAGUUAGUGUUUUUUUUUUUACUAUUUCAAAUUUACAUAAUGUUUAAAAUAUGACAUAAUAACCAAUAAUUGAUUCUGACUCAGUUUAUAUAAGGAUAAACAAGCAAGUAAUUUUGUGCAAAUAUUAAAUUGUAGCUUAAAUUUUAUGGAUAUUUUUGUUUGACAAAAGUACUGUUUUUUUGCAUGUAUGUAUGUCACCAGUGGAUGACAUGUACAUAUUAAUAGGUUCAGCUAAUAUGAACCAAAGAUCCAUGGAUGGAAAAAAGGACACAGAGAUUGCCAUAGGAUGCUUUCAAUCUCAAGAUGAACUUGAGAAACAAACAAACCUUGGUGAUGUUCAUGCAUACAGAAUGGCACUAUGGUAUGAGCACACAAAUAGUGUUGAUGAAUUAUUCUUAGAGCCACAGAGUUUGGAAUGUGUGAAAAGAAUGUGUUCAAUUGGAGAUCAAAUGUGGGAAAUCUACAGCAAUGAAGAAAUUGUAGACAUGGAAGGUGUGCACCUUGUUACUUAUCCAAUGAGGGUAACACAAGAAGGGUAUGUGAAAGACUUGAGUAAUGGAGUUUAUUUUCCUGAUACAAAUUCUCUAGUGAAAGGGAAGAGAUCUACAUUGUUGCCCCCUAACUUGACCACUUAGGAUCAAAUUUGGUGCACUGUUUAUAAUUUCAAAAAUUGCUUUAAAACAAAUUUGACAUAAAAUACAAUGUAAUCAUUUUUAUCUAUAAAUUGAAGAAGAAUAUGGAUCUCAUACUUUUCACAACAAUUAGUUCUAUCUAUAGACAUAUUUAUCAUCACUUCUUGCUUGAUCUGAGUAAUAUAGAAAAAAUUAUUCAUAAUUCUCAGUCCAAAAUAUAACCAAUAUAUUUCCAAAACACUAUUUUUAUAUCAACGGUACGUAACUACUCUAUUAUUAUUAGUUUUGGUUUUUCCUAAAUUAUUCUUCCAAAAGUAGUCAUAUUUUAGAUGGAUUGGAUACUAAAUGUGUACAUAUCCUAAGUAGGGGUGUGCAAAAAUGUGAUUAACUGAAUUGUAUCCAUAAACUAUUUAAUAUGGUGCAAUUUUUUUGUGGUUCAAUUUGAUUCAAUUUAUGGAUACAAUUCAGUCAACCACAUUUUUGCACCUUAGGAUAAUUUUUACCCGUUCAACAAAAUAUUUUUUCACAGCCAAAUUAGAGAGUAAUAAAAUGUAGUAUAAUUUACUUUUGUAAAAAAAAAAAAUGUAUAAUUUAGUAAAUAAUUUUUAUUUUAUAAGUAAAAACAUGACAUAAGCCGAAAGUGGAAAAGUUUGAAUUCUGAAUCCAAUCCAAAUCCAUCGAAAAAGACAAAAAUAAAUUUGGAUCGUGAUCCCUUGAAGAAUAAGUUUUGCAAUGCUAAGUUGACAUGGAAGAAAACUCUCAAUCUCUGGUAAAUUCAAUUUUCUUAUUAACCUUUCAUAUAUAUUUCAAUUUCUGAUUCAUUCAUUACCCAGAAAUUCAAUCAUCAUCAUUAUCAUUAUUCUUGAUUUCGAAUUUGUUCUUUAUCAUUCAUAUUCAUUAGGGGUCGAGGUUGACGAUUGGAGAAACACUAUGUAUGGUGUGCAUUCCAUUGAUUGGAAUAGCUGAAGCUUUGUUUUGCAGCUUAGCUGGUUGCUUCGAUUUCCGUAGUUCAGAGCUGAAGAAGAAAGAAAAAGAGAAGAAGAUGUUUUCUACCUUCCAAGAGAUUCUCGCACUCGCUAACGAUUCUCCUUGUUCGUUUCUUCAUUCUCUUUCAUCUUUUUUUGUUUGUUUAGGAAAUGAUUAUUACUACUAUUUUUAAUUUAUUUGUUUUGUUUUAAUCUUGUAGUAAUUGGUAUGAUUUUUGUGGAAUGCAGUUAAUGUGAAUGAAAUUGAGGCGUUGCAUGAGUUGUACAAGAAGUUGAGUUGUUCAAUCAUCGACGAUGGUCUCAUCCACAAAGUAACUAACUAACUAACUCUACUUCUUUAAUUUAAGUCUCAUUUUCAAUUUGAUUUAUUCGAGUUUAUCUACUGACGCAAGCAUUUGUGAGGCUGGUAGAGUUUAUAAAAACAGCUUAUGACUUUGUCCAAACACAUUUUCAACUUAUUUUUGUAAGAUUUCUAGGUUAGCUUAUAGCUUAUAUAUGACUUUGGCACUAUUUGGAUAAACAACUUAUUUGCAGAUUAAAGAAUAAGUGCUUAUCAUGAUAACCACUUGUAUAUAAGCUAUUUUUAUAGUAAAGUACAAAAUACAGUUAUGUUGUUGGUUUUCAUAAGCUUUCUUGCAAAAGAAGCUAAAAAUAGUUUGUGAGCAAUGCCAUAAGUUUUUUUUAAUAAGCUCUCAUAAACAAUCUCACAAAACUUAUGCUAGUAGUUAAGCUCUAAUAAUCCAAUGGAAAUUUAUUGUUUUGGCCCCUUCACCCCACUCAUAUUUUGAAAUUGAUGGUAUGAGAUAAAAAAGUAGAGGUUUCUCAUUGGAUGUGAAUGUAAAACUGAAUUACACUGGUAGUGUAUGCCUGUUAUAAUUCUAUUUAUUUAGUGACUGAACACUCAAUUCCAUCUUUUCAUAUUGUGGUCGCAUUAGUCGUCUCACAACUUUUUUGCACCAUGUAAUGUUCUGAAAUAUUUUGUCAUCAAUUUUGAUAUCCUCCAAAUUAUUUGGUGAAAAAUGAAUCUGGAUCCUUUGAAGUCAAAAUGCUGCUAAAGCUGUCUCCAUCUACAAUGUUAGUUGUUGGACCAAUCUACCAGUUGAGACAUUAAGUCAAGUGUUAAAUUAAUCGAGUUAUUGGCAUUUACAUUUUUCGUUUUUGAGUCCUGCCGGAACAUUUUGGCCACCGAGGAUCCAUGUUGUUGAAAAAUUCUUUGAAGGGCUAUUUAUGGCAAUGCUUUAAUCUAUGAGGGGCUAAUUUGGUGAGACUAAUCUUUAGAAGACUAUCUUUGUGACACUCCGAUCUUUAAUCCACUGAAUCAUCCAUUUACUCCUUAUUUAUUAUUAUCAGUACAAUGCAUAUUCUUAUACAAUGCUCUAAGUACAAUGCUUUGUGCUGUUUUUAAAAGACAAAAAACUGUGUUUGGUGUCGACUCUGUUAGGUUUAUCAUUACCAGCACCAGUGUUGAAUUUCUGGUCAGAUAGCACUGUUUUAACUCUUUUUUCAUUUUCCCUCUAUGAAGGAAGAGCUUACAUUGGCACUAUUGAAGACCUCAGUUGGCAAGAAUCUUUUCCUUGAUAGGGUAUAAGCAUUUUCAUAAUUGUUAUUGAUUCUCUUUUUGUUUUUUGUUUUCUUGAUAUCAUUUGCGAGGGUAUAUUGUAUUAAGGAAGUCAAUUUUUUGAUUUGCAAGGAAAACACCUGUUAGGAACCCAAUUUUUGUAUUCAAGUAGGACGAAAUAUAUUCACACUCUACUUUCAUUUUGUUCACACCACUCAAUCUAUUCCUACUGGUACUUUUCACCCUGGGAAUUGUAAAAUAAAACCCCAAAGCAUAUUCAAUCUUAAUUGUUUAUAUUUUUAAGUCCUAAUCGUUGCCUUGCCUCACAAACUUAGGUCUUAAAUUGUUGUGAUGGAUUGAUAUAGCUUCCUAGUUUUUGUUCUCUAAGUAGAACUCUCUAAAAGAUCAAAUACAUAUUUUUCUUUUGUCAGAGAUAUUGCAAAAUGUAUCUUACAAAUUGACAGAUGUAAUUCUAAUGUUUUAAUAUCUAAUUUUUCAUUGUUUCCCAUGUAUUAUAUCCCAGUGGUAUGAGAUGAUGUUCUAUGUGUAUUCUCCCCAUUUUUCGUUUUUUUUUAUGCUUGGAUCCAAGGGUUUUAGAAAGAAAGAAAGGAUAAAAUUUUCAUUUUUGAAUCAAAAGUGAUAUAAUAUUUGUAUAAAAGUAUCCAAGGGAAUGGGGCAUUAAGGUUGUGUUAAUCUAUCAUUUUAGACAGAUAUACGUCUAUACUUGAUAUGCGGAAUGAUAUGUUGUGUUAUGAUUAUUCUUCCUUUUCUUUUCUUUUUUGACGUUGACUAUUCUUCCUUUGUAUGUAUAAUUGAGUACGUUUGGUUGUUUGUAAAAUUUCCCAGGUCUUUGAUCUCUUUGAUGAAAAAAAGAAUGGCGUUAUAGAAUUUGAGGAGUUUGUGCACGCUCUCAGUGUCUUUCAUCCUUAUACUCCAUUGGAAAAGAAAAUUGAUUGUAAGACUUCAGUAAGCAUCUUGCAGUUGUAUUUUCAUAUUAUUUGUUUAGUACCAUCUGUAUGGAUUAAAGAUCAAUUAUAUUUUCCUGGUUUGCUUGCAGUUGCUUUUAGAUUGUAUGACUUGAGACAAACUGGAUAUAUUGAACGAGAAGAAGUAAGUAUCUUGGCAUAUUUAUCCUAGAAUAAUAUUGCUCUAGAAUUUUCUUAAUGCAACAUCGAUUAAAUUGGGGUCUCAUAUAUCUUCAGUGACAAAUAUGGGAAAAUAUUUCUUCCAAAAAAAAAAAGGGAAUAUAUUUGUAUAGAAUCAUUAUUAUUAUUUUUGAUGAACUUUGACUUAAUCUUAUUGAAAAUUCUACCUUCCCACGUGUUCUAAAUUGUCACAUGUUGACCAAGUUUUUAGGAACUAGUAUCUACAUUAACAACCAACUAAAGAGAAAAAUAAGGCUGGCUUUGACUAAUUUUUCUGUUUUAUUCUCUGAAGCUCACCUAUAUAGUUGCAAUAUAGAGAAUUACAGAAGUGACAAUUUUUACUAAAUUAUCACCACACAACCAUUUUUUAGUUAAAUCAAAAUUAUAUUAUUUCUUUCAGUGUAACCAUAUCCUAUAUACACUUUUGUAACCAAAAAAAAAAAGAAAAUCCUAUAUACACUUUCAUUUCAUAAAUGGCGUUAACAUAAGCUUCAUCAUUGAUUCAAAUAAGUCCUUGGGUUACCUUAUGAUUAUUUCUUGUGUGAGGAACCUGUAUUCUGAGGGAGUUGCGCAAUCUUGCGAAUAAUUCCUUAAGAUUGUUGAUGCUGAUGGCCGAAAGAUGAAAAACCUGAAGCCAAAUUUUUCGGUCAAUAACUCUGAAAAAUGAAAUCCUCUUUUAUGUUCAAGAGAUCCCUAAAUACAAUCCCCAUAAAUAAAUUCAAAUUUUAUUUAGUGGGGAGAAGAUGAAACAGCAACAUCGCCGAUACUAUGCUCAAGCUGACAGCUUCAUUUCUUCAUGUCUCAUUCAAGAUCAGGCAACUUCAUUUCUGAUUCGAGAUUUAUCUUGAGGCAUUGGCAAUGGCAUAACUUAGAAAAAAUAAGCCUGUUGAUAUCUCCUUCCAAAGCUCGAUGUUGGAUUUGUCUUCGGCACGAGGAGGAAAGAGCUUAAGCAAGAUUUGCAGCGUUGUCAUGUCUACUAGAAAAAUGAAAUUAAAGCCUUGAUUCCUUCUUGCGUUUAUGAUUGCGCCAGAGAGGUUGUCCACCGCAAGCAUAAAUGCUACAAAUUUUGCUUGCAUUCUUUCCUCCUUCUGCCGAAGACAAAUCCAACAUUGAGCACAUUGAGCUUUUGAAGGAGAUAUCAAUAGGCUCAUUUUUUUCUAAGUUAUGCCAUUGCCAAAUGCAGAUAAAUCUCGAAUCAGAAAUGAAGUUGCCUGCUUGGUUUGUGACAUUCACACUUAGCUCGAGCGUAGUAUCCAUGGUGCUGCUGUUUCAUCUUCUCCUUAUCCAGGGUGCUACUGUUUCAUCUUCUCCCUGCUAAAUAAAAUUUGUAUUUAAAGUCGGUUCUUAUAACCACCAUGAGGGCCCUGCUUUUUUAUAUAGCUUGUUUCUCCCAAUACUUAUAUGUUUACUAAUGCUUGGAUCUAUUUUGUUAUCCUUUUCCAGGUUCGGGAAAUGGUGGUUGCCAUUUUGUCAGAAUGUGGUAUGGAUGUGGAAAAUGAAAUCCUUGAAUCCAUUAUUGAUAAGGUAAUUGUUUGCUGGAACAUGUGUUUCUCGUAUGUUGUUUAAGUCUAAUCCCUUAGGUAACAUUUUAAAAAAAAAACAGACAUUUCAAGAUGCCGAUGCUGACAAGGAUGAUAAGAUCAGUAAAGAAGAGUGGAAAGCAUUUGUCAUUCGGAACCCAUCACUCUUGAGGCACCUGACUCUUCCUGAACUGAAGUAAAAUACUCCUCAUACCUUACCUCUUUUAAUUUUAUUUAUUUCUUCUUUGACACUUUUAUUCCUGCCUUCGUCGUUCUUGUAUUUACUUUUUUUCUCCCAUAUCUUAUAUAAUUUGUAAAUUUGUAUUAUAUGAGUUGAUCAUUAUAUGUCUUCACCUCAUGGGAUGAGUGAAUGAGAACGAUUAGUAUCCAAAGCAUUAGCAAGUGCUGUAUUGUUCAAUUCACUACUUGCAUAAAUAGUCAGAAUAAAUAUUAACAUACUUAGACUACAGAGAAAGUGUUGAAAUUUUAAAUAUGUACUUUUUUUUUCAUUUUGGAAAAAAAUCUUUGUCAGCUCUACAAACAUGUCAAAUUAAAAUAAUGAAGUCAUGUAUAAAUCUGUUGAUAAGGCCAAUAAAUUGUAAUACGUGAAUUUUGAUGUAUUGCUAAUGUAAAUUUGCUUUAUACUCAUUUCACCAUCAAUACAAAAGUCAUUCUAGGCACCAUUGCCAACAUUUUGACAGUAUUAUGAUUCAAUGGUUGGAUUGCAUUGGUUUAGGACUGAAUUCAAGCUUUAAUUUUUGUAUGGUCACUUGCCAGGGACGUAACCACUCUAUUUACCAGUUUCAUUUUCAACACUGGAGUUGAUGAUUUCCACUAGCAACUCAUUGGCUAGUCAAAAUCUGACAUCAAGGAAUUGAAGCUUGUUCUGUUUUGAUGCCUCUGCUGUUGCUUCCCUGAGAAUUAGAUUAUGGUGAUUCCUUCUCCCAUUGAUUUGAAGAUCAACCGGGCAAAUUUUUUGAAAGUGGACAAAUCCAACAAGUUUUGAUUGAGUAAAGUGGUGCUCCAAAAUCUUAUCCAAACCGAGUGACCCGUUUAAAUUGUAUCAAAUUGUGGUGCGCGGUGUAUACCUUGGUUUGGUGCAGUGUACAAACAUUUAAAUGAUUAAAAUGUGAUUUAGUAUUAAAACAAACAAUUUGUUGAAUUUUAUUGUGUUUAAAUUAUACAUAGUCUCCAUGUUGUAGAUGCAAUGACGCCUGAGGAGAAUGGAACUGAUAACAGAGACCAAGGAACUGUCGGUACCCAUCUGGCACGUAACGUCAUCAGAAUAAAAUCUCGCUGCAGUGUGAUUGGGUCAUCAAACAGCUAUCAUCGUUUUUGCUUGUCAUUAUAAUCCAGGUUGGUGACUGAAAAGGUUAAAACACAGAACGCAGUUAUACUUACAAUUGCAUUAGAACCAAAUUGAUGACUGAUCAAUGCAACCAAUUACAUGACAAUUACAUCGGCUUUCAGUCUUAAUUAGUAUUGUCUCUUAGGCUGCGUGUAGGAAUCGGGAGGGGGAAGCGAGGGAAAGACUUAUUACUAAUAUAUUUUGUUUUUAGAGUAUUAUGAAAAGAGGUAACAAAUUAAUAAAAUCUUUUUUAAGUUUUCCAAAACUCUCCAAAGUCCUUUAAUUCAUUUUGAGUUCUUCAUAGGAUAAAGCGUGGAUGUCUUUUUUUAGGUGCUUUUGGGUAGUAAUGUUUUUUUUUAUGGUUUGUUAGUUAUGUUAGAAUUAGGUAUUUUGAUAAAUAAAUAAAAUGUUCAAAUAAGUCAUUCCACAAAACUAACAUGUAAAACAAUUUUUUUAGAGUUGGAUGCAUUGUGUGGUUUCAUGCCUAGUUGUUCCAUCAAAGAUGAAUGGCAUAUUACACAUUAGAAUAUUCAAAGGAGUUUAAUAAUUAUGUACUGUAAAAAAGGUUUUACACGUCCAUAUAAUUAUUUUAUUUCAUUAUGAUGCCAUUUUAUUAUAUUCAAAGUUAUAUGUACCAAAGAAGAUUUUCUUCAAAAAAAAAAAUGGACCGAAGAAGAUAAAUAAACAAAAGAAUAAAAAAAAAGCUUGACGAGUUUAAGAAUCACGGUUAGAACUAGAUUUUAGAAAAUUGAUGCAAUCAUAGUUAAGUUGAGUUCCAUCCAAUGGUUUCAUAUUGGAUUCCAUGUCAGAUAACAACUGAUUAAAUAAACUGAAAAAUUCAUAAUCUAUAAGUAGUGCAGUUUUCUGUUUGAUCAAGAAACAUUUUUCCCUUCCUAAGGUUUAAAAAAAGAACAAAGGGAUAGGUUCAAAGUACAACUUUGUAGAAGAACGAAUCAGAGUAAACGGGGAAUCAAGAAUCUGAUACAGUUAGAUUCAUGAUUGAAAUGGGAUAAUUAUUUACUACUAAAGUUUCCCAUUUCAAUCAUCCUUACCUAAAGUAUGAAUAAAUGCACUACUAUAUACAGUUAGAUUCAUGAUUGAAAUGGGACUAUCAGCAACUUGUCCCAUGAUUAUCAAUAUCAUUGAUUAAUGGGACCCUUGAACUCAAACUACUAUAUUUCCAAGUCCACUUAUUCAUCUUAUUAAAUCCUUCCCUCCUAAAGAAAGGAAAAGGAGAAAAAGCAAAGUAAAGAAAAAACAAAGUAAAUAAGAGAGAGAAAACAAAGUAAAUAAGAUGAAAGUGUUGUCCUUGUGCAUGAGGUAGUAGCUCAGUGGUAACGGGUAAGAAUUUAACCUUAUAACUUCAAUAGACAGAGUUCAUAAUCUCCUCAAAUACAGUUAUAAAAUGAUUAUUAGUGUUGUCUCUUACGAUCAACUUUUUCUUCCCUAGCAUACCGGGUAAAAUGGAAAAGCAAAAUUAAUGAAAAGUAAAUACCUAAUUCACGGGGUCCUUCAAAAGACAAAACUUUUUCUAUUGUCUUUAUUUGCAAAAGACAAAUACAAAGAAACAAAAAUGCUAGUGAAAUUCUCCACACGUGUGUCUACAUUAGCCAAUUUUUCCUGGCCUCUCCAUUUAUCCUUUUUUAUUGCCUUGUGUAUUUUUCAUAUACUGUUUGUACUGUAUCAGUAUGUAGUAGUGGCUUCAUACUUUCUGGCUAAGGUUCCACUCUCCUUACUAAGAUAGGCAUCUUUCUUUUCAUUCUUACUGUGGGGAAGUUCACUAUUGUAUCUUCUUCUGCAUACCAUCUGCAUGUGAAACAUUAAAUUUAAAUGUCUAAUAUUCAUUGAAUUAUAUAUUAUAUUUUUUUACUGAAGUCUGAAAUUAGCUUAGUAGAGAAAUUUUGCAUAAAAAUGCAUCAUAGGAUUGUAUACUAUGCAGAAUCAACCUAACAACAACAAUAAUGAUGCUAUACAAAUUUGGUUCUGAACAUCGGGUAAUUUUGCUUCAAUGCAAGAAAAUAAGUAAACAGUCCCAAGAGACAGUAGUCAAAUGUACUUGUCCAAUGAAACACACAAAUCUUACAACAAAGGUUAGGAUCAAAUGGCUUUUCUUUGUUCUGAUGCAGCAUUUAAAAUCUAUAUGGCCCCCACAAACUUUACUAGUUGGAUUCCAUAUUUGUCCAUAUGGAAUUAGAAAGAGACAUUUUUGCUAUUAUUCUAUCUACUUGGACACAUAUGGAAUCUGUGAUUUCAGAAAUUUUAGUGUCUGCUCUUAUGUUAUAAUUUUGCCUCUGCUCCUAAGUUUAAGCAAUAUAACAUUUAAUAAGUAUAGAAUGAUUAUUACCUGAAUUGAGUAACAAGGUGAUGCAGAAAGAUGGAAGCUUCCAACCUUGCCAAGUCAAGACCAGGACACAGCCUUUGUCCUCCUCCAAAAGGAGUGAAAUUGUAACUGUUCAUGUCCUUAUCCUGAAAACCCCCCGUUACAUUAAUUUAACCUAUACGUGUAGUAACAUGAAAAUGAACUAUAAAGAAACUAGAUUUGAAUUGUAUGCAAUCGUCUAAUCAAGAUCGAACGGCGCAGAUUUCAGUGCCGGUUUUAUUUUUUUUAAAUCCAAAAUACCAAGCUUGAAAUCAGGAUUGUCUUAUUUUGACCAGACAGUCCAAAUGUGGCUAUAACUGCAUGCAGUCACAGGGUUGUGACUGGACAAAACCUAUAUCCAUAUAAACUAUACCAAGAUCUAAAGUGUAGAGGACUUUUCUCUUACUUGCCACCUCCAUGGAUUGAAUUGAUAUGGGCACUCAUAGUUUUUCUCAUCUAGAUGAACUGAUCUAAAAUUUGCAAACACACACCAUCCUUGUGGUAUUAAAUACCCUUUUAUUUCAACAUCUUUUAAGGCCUUUCUCAUAACACCAUUUAUAAUAUUUCCCAUUCUCAAAGUUUCUGUGAUUACCUGUAUAAGUUGGGCAUAUAAUAAGUCAGUUUAAAAUUAUGGAUCAUUUUUGUUUGUGUUUGACAAACACACUUGUGCUUGGCUUACUUUUUGAGUAAAUGGCAAUGAUAAGUAAUCAUUCCAACACAAAGGCUUCCCAAGCUGAUCUUUGAGUUUCUUGAGCUUUAUAUUCUCCACCUGUGAAUCACCAAAUUCAGUUACCAAAAGCUAAUUAAGAAAUCGUUUCAAGGAAUUUUUUAAGGGCAUGUGUUGCAAUCACAUACCAUAACCAUUGAGAUUUUCAAAAACUUGGGUGAAUGGGAGGAAAAAUUGCACACGUUUCUACCACUAGAACUUUCAAUCAUUUAUCUUGAGUUUCUGAGUAUGAUUGUGAUGUUUCCGUUUUGAUUGUUUAUAGUCAUAUAUAGCUAGUAUAGAAAGGACAUAACCUACCACUACCAGCCAAUUUUGUCUAUGGAAAAAUUUCAAACUUCAAUGACAUAGAUGAAAAGAAGCAUAAUGGUCACUCGCAAAAUCUUGAUUUUCUUUUAAUAAAAAAAAAAAAUGUUAUUCUAACUUUAGACUAGGCCAUUAGGAGCCAUCUGCAUAACUUUUGACACGCAAAUUUAGCAUCAAAUUCGACAACAAUAUAGAAGGUUAAACAAUUCGUAUGCGAUUAAUUAUCUAAACGAGAUGGUUAACACACAUAUACCGUCAAUUGUUGUAAAGCAGGAGGGCAUUCUGAUAGGUAUUUUGUAGCUAGAGUCAUAAGAACUGGAACUGAGUCCUCUCCAGGAAUCAUCAUAUCAAUAAUAUUAUCUGCUAUUAAAUCAUCUGUCAAUUUCUCACUUGUAUCAUUAAGAAGGACAUCCACUACAUCUCUUGGAACUUCAAAGAUGCCUUUAUUUCUUUUAGCUUGGACAGUUUUUCUCACUAAUUUCACCAUUUUCUUUUUUGCCUGAAACCAAAUGUGAAGUCAUCAUUACUUUCAGCAAAGCAUGCUAUAUAUGGUAGAAGAAAUCAAUCUCAUUACUACCUGUAAAGAUUGAUAGAGUUUGGUUCCUGGUAGGUUUAUUGGCAAAGACAUUAGGCCAGAGAUAAAUUCCUGAAAAUGUUUUUUUAGAAGUUCCAUUUCUUCACCUGGUUCCAAACUAAUCAAUGCCUUAACCAGUACAUGAAAGGCAAUCUAUGGACAAAAAAAGAAGAAGUGAUUAAUUGUUGGUGUUUUUUUUUUUGGUAGAAAUUAAUUGUUGGUGUAAGUAUCUUGGAAAAUAGUAAAUUAUUGUGAAUCUCCUUUUUAAUGCAGCAUGGUUCCAGUAAAAUGAUUAUGAACCCUAUAAAGAUAACUAAGAUAUAUUUUUAAUUUAAGUAGUUAAUAAUAUCAUGUUGAAACAAAGUUGGAAUCAAAAGACGAGCAUGUUUAAAAUCACAUUGAGUUUGACAAAAUCAUGAUGAUGUGGUGAGUUUGUUGAAGCUCCAAAGUGUAGCUUUUGUCAAAAUCACGACGGCACACCAUGAUUUUUCCAAAUUUAUCUCUAAUAAUUUAAACAUGCACUGCUAGAUAGAUAAUUUGAUCACCAAUUAUUACUUUUACAACUCAUGCAAAAACAUAAGAGAGAGGAGGGUCAAUUUGUGACAUGAUUUUUGACUGGUUGCUUUCAUAUAAACAACUUGAACAUAGAAAAAGGUGAUAUGCCAAAUAUAUAUUUAAGAGAAGGAACAUGCAAUUUUUGUUUUAUCUUGUGUCAGUUGAAUGGAACUCUUUUCAAGAAGUCACCGUGAGAUUGAAGGUAAAAUAUUAGAGUUCAAACUUUGGAGAUAGAUUCUGACACCAACACACGUGGGAGAGAGAAGCAAACAAAGAUAGUACAAACUCACACACACUCAGAAACUGAGGGGGAAGGAAACAGAGGUAACCUUUUUUGUUUCAUCUUGUAUGUAUAUAGGUUGGUCCUCUUUCCAAUUUGCCAUUGAUUCUUGUACAUACUUCUGCAUAUCUGAGGUAAUCUGAACCUUUAACUGUUGAGACUUGAAGAAAGCACCAAUAAGUCCAUGUAUUCUCCUUUGCAAGGUUCCAUUGAUGAGCAAAAUAGAAGACUCUCCCAUUAACUGCAUCAAUGACUUGGGAUAAGAAGGAACAAAAACCUUUGCAUCACUUUGUAGUAUAAACUUAUUCACAUCUGCAUCUGUUGAAACAAUGGUAGGGCUUCCAAAUAUGUGUGACUUGAACACUUUACCAUACCUGCAACAAUUUGCAACAGCACACCACAAAUCCUUGUCAAAAACAAACAAUCUCGCGUGGCUUUUCUUAUUUUUAAUUAAAGUGACACUAACGACCAUUUUACUGACAAACACACUUUCUAUGAAGCUUUGUCUCUUGAGCUUCAUAGAAAGGUAGCUAUGCCAAUGAAUGAAAGUGAGUUAAACUAAAAUGAAGUAUUGUAUGAUGAUGAACUUACAUGGCGCAUCGCUUGUUCAUGAAGCUCUCAGGGCGGUCGGUGUAAGCACAAGAAACAAAAUCUAUGGUUUCACCAAUAAAAGGCCAUCCAAGAGUGCCUAGUGGAAGCUGAUUUCUUUGUUUUGGUUUGAGCUUAAGACUAAGCCUGUUUCUGUAGUAGAGGAUCAAAGUGCACAAGAAAAUUGGUGUCACAAAUAGAAUCCAAGUAGUGUCCAUUGUUUUUCUCACACUUUCUAUGCUAGCUUUGGCUUAAAUAUGCAAAUAUACAUAAUCAAUCAUGUAUAUGGUGGACACAGCCGUAACCUAGUUAUGCUUUAUGAUAUAUAUAGAUUUUUAUGUGCAUGUGUGUGUGCACGCGUGCAAGAGGGACAUAGUAAGAGGUUUGUGAAGCAUGAGCUUUCUUUCUUAAGUAUAAUAAUUUUAGUUUCUGCAAAUACGAGGUUUUUUUUUUAUUUUAGUUUAUGCAACAAAAAAAAAACAGUUAUUUAUUAGAAAGAAUUUUCAUUUUAACUCUAGAAUCAUUUCUUUUAGUCACUCAUCUCACUCAGCCUUUCACACUCCCUACUUCCAACCUCCUAUGGUGUUGAGAGAGAGAAGAAGAUGAAGGUGAAGUAGACUUCACGUGAGAAUAUUAGUCAUAUGUGGCAACAAUGACAUGUCAUUCUAGAUGUGUCAAAGAUAAUAUAAAAAAAUAAAAAUAAAAUAAAAAAGAUAAAUCGUUGAUAUAUCAAGUGUGAGUAAGAGUCUUACAUUUGGAAAAGUGGAUUUUGAAUAAGAUUUAAGUAAAGAGAUCCAUAUAUCUAAUGUCUUUAGCUUUUGAACGAAGAUGUGGUGUUCAAAUAACUUAUGUUUGCUCUCAGAUCAAUGUGAUGAUUUGCCAAUAUUUUAGGGCUUCUCCCAUGGCCCCAACAAUGUUAUCAAAGUUGAUAGUUUGAUCAAAGGUGACCAACUUUUUGUAUCGAAAAUCUUUACCACAAUGGGUUGGUUAGGCAUUGUGUCCCGUUGAGCCAAUGGCAGAGUAAAUAAAUGUGGAUGAAAAAAAUACCGCUCGAGGAGAAGUAAUCCCAAAUUAAUGAAUUGACUUGCACAUGAGAAUGAGAAGAAUCUCACGAAUUUAGAACCAAAAAUGUAUUUAGUGAAUAUGCUAAUCAAUUCAAUUAUAUAUUUUAUUCUCGACAGAAGAAGAAUUUUAGUGCUAACUUUGUACUUAAUUGGGUCUCAGAACAGUGUACCUUAGCUAUAUUUUAAACUCCAAGAAAAUAUACACUAUUCACUAAUAAUGUAUCAUAUUUCAACUUUUUAAAAAAAGUUGUUAAUGUAAGUAAAGUGAGAUAAUAAGAUCUUUCAUAUUUUGAGAUCUUUGAAUAUUUGUAUUAAUUGUUAAUGCACGGUUGGUUUCUGCUUAGUUUAUGAUUUUGUUUCAUGCUAUACAAAGAAUAUAAGAAGAAGACCCCACUGAAGGUUAUGAUUGUUAUUGCAAGGGCAUGAUUGUUGUUGUAACACAUUAGAUUUUGGCCCCCCCUUCAUCCCUUUUCCUUUAAUUCUUUGGCAAUAGCAGCUGGGUGAGAUCGUGCUUUCAUGUGAAACUCAAUAAGUCCAACCAUGUUCUCAAGUUAUCAUCAUUUCCUUCCUUUCUCUUAUUAUAUGCUAGAGCCUAGAGGCCACAUCUACCUUUCUUUCUCAUUAUAAUAUAAAUUUGCUUAUCUUUUCCCAUCAUUUGAAUCCUUAAAAUGUAUUAGGCAAUGGUACUGGGAGUAUAUUUUUCAAAGUUUAAACAUUGUACUAGAACAAUAUAAAGUUUAUAUAUCUUCUCGAUUUUGAUUCAUGCUGCUGCAUGUUUUCGUAUUCACGCGGUCAAUUAUAGGCUAAAUUGUAUUUUUGGUCCCCUAACUAUUUAGGUAGUAUCGUUUUGGUCCUCUAAUUAAAAUUCGAUUGAUUUUGGUCUUUUAACUUCUUUCUGUUACACAUUUUGGUCCUUUCUGUUAGUUUUAAUUCAAAAACGUUAGAUUUUCUUCAUCUUCUUUUCCUCUUUUUCAUUUUCCCAUGAUCUCCAUCGACCUUUCAACAACAAGAAUUCCAUAAAAAUUUCAGAAGAAAAUGAAGAAAACCUAACGUUUUUGAAAUAAAACUAACGGAAAUGACCAAAAUGUGCAACGAGAAGAAGUUAAGGAACCAAAAUAAAUCAAAUUUUAGUUAAGGGACCAAAGCGAUACUACCUAAAUAGUUAAGGGACCAAAAAUGCAGUUUAGUCAUUAUAUCAUUGUAGAUUUCAAAAUCAAUUUUUAAAAUUAUUAAAUUUGUUUGAACCCUAAACCUUAAAUCCUACAACCAUCGAUGCAGCUGACUGUGUGAAUACAAUAAACCUUUUUUAUUUAGCAAAUGAAUUUAAGAAACCUACGAUUGCGAAUAAUAUAAAUUCAUGUUUUCUUUAAAAAAAAUUCUUUAAUUAAAGUAAGACUGAUACUACACUUGAAUAUUGUCGAAUAUGACUCAUAGAAGUAAUGCUGCAAUCCAAACGACAUGUAUUUUAAUACAAGUUGUACACUAUCGUAAACCUAUGCCAUUGAAAUAAUUGAAUAUAUUAAUUUGUAAUGCACGGUCGAUACACAUUAUAUAUAAAAUUCAAUUGUAAAUUCUUUCUAUUUUAUUACAUGUGUAUUUACAAUUGAAUGUGUUUUUCUAGAGGGUACAUUGAGAGUCUGCAUGGGCUACACACAACAAUGGGUUUGCUACGAAGAGUUGCUCCAAUAUAGUGUUGGUUUUUGUUAGGAAUCAUGGAAACUAUUGGAAAUAACUUGAGCAUCUUCAUUCCGUAUUGGCGGUAGCGCAUCGCUACGAAGCUUAAAAUGUUAGCCGAGCAAAUGGAGGAUGGUGAUGUGUUGGUUUUUUUACAGUGGUCAUGGCCGCAGAGUUAAAGGAAAGUCAUAAAUGGUCGUUUCAAACGGCGCGUCAUUUUAUAUGAAUAUUUGUUGUUAAAAAGACUUCUAAAAAAAUUAUUACAAAUAUGACAUUUUAUAAGAAAAAUAUUUGUUGUUAAAAGGACCGAAAUGUUAUAAAGAUUUAUUACAAAAAACAGGCCCAUUAUGAUUCGUUGUUAUUUGAGGAAAUUGAAAAAGAUAUGUGGUUUUAAUUGAAUUUUUUAUUUGUUUUUGAAAUACUUAUGAUUGUUUAUGAGUUUGAAGGUGUGAAUCUAAGUUUGAAACUUGAUUAUGAAUUAAAAAUAAUAGAGGAGAAGAGCUCAAAGAACGGCCACGAAUGACAUAAUUUCAAAUGAAGAUUUUGUGUUGUUGAUUCAGUGAGAAGUGGGAGAGAGCGUAUGAUCUUGUGUUUGUAUUUAUUUUGUGUUUUGUGAAUGAGAAAGAGAGAAUAGAAGAGAGGAGAGAAGGAGGAAGGAGGAAGAGAAGGGAAGGAAAAAAAAACUCCACAUCCAAUUUUAUUUUAUUUUUAUUGAUUUUUUUUAGGUUUUUUUGAAAUUCUUUAAAGAAUGUAUGAAGAUGUUUAUGAAGAUGAAAUAGGAAAGAUGAACACAGGUAUUAAAAAUUAGAUUUUGUUGGUGUAAUGUUAGAUUUGGUAGACAUGCAUGAUCUAAUGGUUGUAAUUUUGAAAAGAAAAAAAAUCAAACGGUUAAUUAUUUUUUUGAAGAAGCUAAAUUGGUUCCGGGAGAAUCGAUCGUGAGACCUCGAGAAGGAGCGCACUCUCAGGUCUCAAGUCAAUACUAUCAGACAAACCCAAAUGGUGGACAACUUACCGAGUAUAUCUACUCUAGACAUUGGGUUAACGUUUUUGACGGAGAUGAUUUAUUUGGCUAACGGAGUUUAACUUAAGGGAGCAAAAUGUAAUUUAAUAAGUUAUGGACCAAAAUAAAAACACCAAAUAAAAUACACGAUUUUUCACUUAUUCUUGUAAAAGUUUUGUUUCACUAAUUUGAUCUUUGUUUGUUGUUAAUUGGUUUGUUUUUGUUUUCAUAGUCUUUGAUGCUAGUUUGUUGUUGUCAAUUAUUGAGAUGACAAACAGAAGACCAAAUCACAAGAACUUUUUUUAUCUAAGGAACCAAAUUACAAGAACUAAACCGUAAAGUAUUAGUAUUACACCGACAAACAAAACUUGACCUCCCUAAAAAACACUUGGACCAAAAUGUAUAAGGAUUUAUUUACAAAAAUGUUUUUAAAUUUCAAAAGACCAAUCACAGAUCAAAAUGAGGAAAAAUAAUCUAUUUUGAAGAAAAAUAAUCUUAUAAAGACAAAUGAAAAACCGAAUUAUAAGAAUUAAGAACCAACAAAAUAGGUUUUUUUUUUUAGAGAUGAACCAACAAAAUAGGUGAGAACAUAUAUUGUAUAUGCCGGCAUCAAUUACAACAAAUGCAACUCUUUAAAAAAAAAAAUAUCCAUCGCAAAAGAAAAUAAUUAAUAGUACUUAAGUUUGGCUUUCUCUAAGGUACAAAAAUAAAAUAAUUUUGCAUCAUAUGGAAGUGUAUUUUCACCAGUUAAUCAAUAAGUCUCAUCUCAUUUGAUUAAAUAGUGAGAAUUAUUAAUCUAAAAGUAAUUUGUGCAUGAUAUAAAACGUACUCCCUUCGUUUUUAAAUAUAAGCAAAUUUUAUUUUUUAGGUUCAUUCAAUCAAUGAUGUAUGUAGUCCAUAUUAUGAACCACAUACAUCAUUGAUUGAAUGAACCUAAAAAAUAAAAUUUGUUUAUAUUUAGAAACGGAUGGAGUAUCUAACAUGCGCAUAUUAUUCACUUACUAGUGGUUGGGUAAAACUUGCAAUUUGCAUGCAUUCUAGUCUGCACAAUGUCAUGACAACAUUCUUUUGGGGAAUUGUGCAUGCUUACACGAGUUCCAUGUGAUUCUCUAGUGCUCAACAUAUUGAAUAUGCUUGGUUUUGGAAGUUGGUAAAUAACAAUUGAUAAUAAAUAAAUACAGACAAGUUGAUGAUGAGGGAGGUCCAAUGUAUUGAGUAUUGACCAAGAACAUCGGUAUAUUAUUCAGCAAAUUGAUCCUUCUACCAAAGUUGCUUGAAUACAAAACAAACAUAUAUCGUGUCUGUUUCACAUGACUGUUUUAUAUGCCAAAAUUUUGCAUAACAUAUUAACAUUAGUUACAAAAGCAAAUAUCUAAGAACCAAACACACGAAAUUAUAAGAAUGGAGAACAAGUACAAAACAAAAAUGGAGAAUUAUACCAAAAUCUUUUCAAAAAGUUACAAAUGUGAAAGUUUGAUAACCCAACCUAUUCUUAAUGUACUCCCUCAGUAUUUUAAUAUAAGUAAAAUUGAUUUUUUAGGUUCAUUCAUUUAAUGAUGUAUAUGGUCUAUAAUAUGAACCACAUACAUAAUUAAAUGAAUGAAUCUAAAAAGUCAAUUUUGCUUAUAUUAAAAUAUGGAGGGAGUACACGUUUCUCAAAACAUCAAAUAAAUCAUUCCAACAAGCAUGAGAGGUUAAGGUUAAACUCUUAUUUGCUAGGCUAUCUACACAAGAAUUACAUUCGCUAUAAGCAUGUGUCACCAUAAAAUUCUUGUCAUUUAGUCAAUUUUUAGUCAACGUAAGACUAAUCACUUAUAGUGGAAUUUUGGAAACCUCAUUUUCAAGUUAAAGUAACUUGCAUCACUACACUAGCGUCAUUAACAACCAACAAAAUAUGUUUUCUUGCUCUAGAAAGACUUCCUAUACAAGGGUUCAUUAUAUCUUGAACCAUGCAUAAUUUGUUGUAUGCAAGUGUGUAUUAUAUGUCCCACAUCGGAUAGAAUAGUAAAGGUUGAACAUCUUAUAAGUAAGAGGACUCAUAAACCCAUUGCCUUAAGGUUUUUUGUAAGAGUGUGACGUCUCCCUCACUUGUGUGGUUGUUCAAGCCUCGAUGUGGACCGUCCGCGGAACUCCCCCACUGACCCAACAUAAUUUCCAAUCAAGUCAAACCAUACAUAUGAAUUUUAACAAUCUUUCUUCGAAUACGAGACUCUCAUAUCACUGCACGUGUAUCAUUGUUAGCAAGCGACAGAACCCAGAGUCUUGACUCAACAAAGGCUACAAUGAUCUUCCCUCGAAAGAAAAAAAAAAGGCUACAAUGAUCCGAUUAUUCUUGGAUCCAAAAGGGGGGGUAAAAUGAAACAGUGUGUGUAAUGAAAUUAAUUAAAUUACUAUUUUUCUUAUUUUUUGCCUAUUUUUAUGAUGAAACAGCGAAGGGGAAAUGACGAUUCUUAUACCUUUAAUUAGAGGAGAAAAAUUAGAGUAUUAGAUGAGAUGGAUUUGUGUUAUAGUUCGUUCUCUCUUAUUUCUUUGAUUCAUAUCCAUUGCUUCAUUUCAUGAUUGCAAAAUUCAAGCAAAAGGUAACAGCCAACUUUCACUUGUAGCAUAGUAAAAAAAUCGAUUUUUUCUUGACCAAAAAAAAAAAAACAACCAUUUUUUCUACAUACAGUAAAAUGAUGAAUGGGAGCAAUGUGAUCAACAGUAACGGGUUCUCCCCAUCACCUUUUUAGGAACCUAUGCACAUAAUAGUUAUUUUUUGAAGAUAAAUAAACACUCUUUAGUUUUUUACCUUCAUUUUUUUCUAUAUUUCUCUUCUUCUAUAUUGCAUCACCAACUUAUCACACAAUUCUUUUUUUUUUUCUUUGUUUUAAGAUGUAUAAACCCUGAAGAGGUGUACACAAAAUUGGUUACAAAAUAAAAAUAAAAAAUAACUACCGUGUAGUAAACCUUUUUUAUAACUUAAUUGGAAUUUUUAUUUUACAACUUAAUUGGUUACAAAAUUUAAAUUACUUCUCUAUCGCAAAACUAACUACAUGUGAAGUCAAAUUAAAUAUCACUAUAAGAUUUCUAUAUUGCAACUCAAAGCGUAGACAUGGAGUAUUGGCAUGAAAAUCUUCCUUGCAAAAAGGAGCAUGCCCUUAUUGCUUCUUUACUACUCAAAGCAACAUUGGCAUUCAUGGAUAGUUAAGAUACAAUUUCUCAAUUCGAGUGAUCAAAACAUAUGUGCCUGAACCAUGUGUCAUUACUCAUUAAAACUAUUCUAAACAUAUGCGCCAAUGUUUGAGAUGAGGAAAAGAAAUAAGUAACAAAUUCUAAAUUUAUAUUCAUAAGCCAUUAAAUAAAUGAUAAGGAAGAAAAAGGAACUCAAAUACAUCUUGUACUCUUUCAUGUAAAUGAGAAGGAAGACUAUGUUUUUAUCUUCUACAACUCUACUUAUCCUAUUACACUUUUGGAAAUCAAAUACAACAAAAUUGGACUUGGAAUAAGAGAUUUGGAGUGUGUACAAUUAUCAUAAGAACUUCAGUCCAAAGAGCUAUUUUCUUGAGUGCAAACUAAUCUCAUUCUCACCUCCUAAAACACAGGGGAUACCAAAAACGGCUCUUAAAAACACAGCACUAAACAAUUUUAGGUGUCGAAUCUUCAAAAAAGUCAUUCUCCGCUAUAGAAGAACGCUUCAACGUAUAAAGAAAGGCUCGCAUCAAAUUCUUUCACACAAAGUUGCAAUCGUUUCAAAACCAACAUGAACCCAUCAAGAGAAAAUUCGGCAUCAAUGGCGUUAGAAGGAAUGAAUAGCUUCUUUAAUAUUAAGGAUGAAUUUAUUUCAUUGAAGGAGGAAAAUGGCAACUCAAAAAAGCAUUUAAUUUAAUAGAAUGUGGGUGGGAAGCGACCUGCUAAGCACACUUUUAAUGAUUGUUUUGGGAGGGAAAAUCUUGAGGGACUAGGGUUAAGCAAUUGCCUAUACUAAGAAGCUUUUAUAUAUAUAUAUAUAUAUAUAUAUAUAUAUAUAUAUAUAUAUAUAUAUAUAUAUAAGUGAAGUGAUAAGUGAUAAAUAAAUUUAGGGUUAAUAGUGAUUUACCCCUGUAAUAUAGGUCAUUUUCGAGUUUGUCCUCUGUAAAAAAUUUGUUUUGGUUUUCGUCCUUGUAAAAUUAUUUUUUUCUAGAAUACCAAAAAUUCUGAAAAUGGCCUAUUAGGGGGUAUUCUGGAAAAAAAUAAUUUUACAAGUACGAAAACCAAAACAAAAUUUUUACAGGGGGUAAACCCAAAAAUGACCUAUAUUACAAAGGUAAAACAAUAUUAACCCAUAAAUUUACGGAUUAAUGGUACAUUAUUGCCUCCCUUAUGUCUACCAAUCAAUAAAUAAAACCUAUUAUAAUUUGAUUUCAUCUUUUUUCUAAUUUACUCCCUUUGUCCCAAAAUAUCUAAGUUUUUUUUCAUUUCCACACAUAUUAAGAUAAAUGCAUAAGUGAAAGAGAGAGAAAAAUGAUUUUGAGUGUCCUUGUCAAGCAUUGGUGUAUUUACCAUUAUCAUAAAUACAAAGUGGAAGAUAUUGAAUUGAGAAUGAUAAAAGUAGUAUUAAUUAUAGUGUAUAAUUGAAAGAAGAAGAAGAAAAAAAAAAAAAAAAUGCUAAGAGCAUCUCCAAUGGGGGGUCCUUACUUAACAAGGACCACUCCCCGUUAAGGACCCUCCAUUGAAGGAAGAAAAAAUGAGUCCUCGUUAAGGAACGGGCAACUAUAUAAGGAGCAAUAAAAUGUGUACUACUUGGUCCUACUUGCAUAAAGGAGCAAUAAAAUGUGUAUUACUUGUUCCCACUUGUAAAAAGGUGUAAUAAGACAUAUUUAAGUACUUUUCAUUGAAGUCCUUAUUAGUGUAUUGUCAUUGGAGUCAUUGAGUCAUUAAUAUGUACUUUUAUUAAAAAAUUAUAAAUAAGUGAUGCGUCACGUGGGGUCCAUUUAAGGAGUCUUUGUUAGGGAACUACCAUUGUGGAUUUUCAAACAAGUUUAGAAGUCCAAAGAAGAAACUUUUUUUUUUUGAAAAUUGUGUAUUCAACACAAAAACUUUAAAAAGGAACAUUUUCUACAUAUAAUCAAUAGUAUAUAUAUAAAGUAAAGUUUUUUUAUGUCACGUGUCACUUCCACGUUUAUUCUCAAUAUUAUUAUUAUUUUUUAUUUUUGCAAAUCAUUAUUUUAUUACGCAUAAACAUCUCAACAAACUUUUGAUCUUAUCCACUAAAUAUUUUAUUUAAUUUUUUAUUGAAUUAUUAAUAUUUUAUGUAAAGUAAAUAUCUCAACAAACUAUAUAUAAUACUUUCAAUCCUAUCCAUUAUAUAUUUCACUUCAUUUGUUAAAUAAUUUUUGAUUUAAUGAAUGAAUGGCUACUUCAAUUUGAGCAUUAUUUGUUUCAAUAAAUGUAGUUUUUUUAUUUGUUUAAGAAUUUACAAAUUUGUUAAUAAAAAUUUGAAGGAAAAUUUGUUAUUUUUUUAAAUUGAUUUUUUUUCUUCGAAUUUUCAUCAUAUCCACUAAAAAAUUCAUACUACCAAAAAGUAUUUUAUUAAAGUUAGGGCCCGUUUGUUAAAAUUUAAAAUAAAAGUGAUUUUGACAUAAAAUAAUUUAAAGAUUAUAGUCUAAGAGUCUGUUUGUUAUAGCAAUUUUAAGAAAAAAAAUCACUUUUUUAAAAAAAAAAUAAUCACUUUUAAGAAUGUUGCAUCCGUUUGUUACAACAUUUUAAAAAAAUCAGAAUCUAAAAAAAAUCUAAAAACAACAUCAAAUGAGAAGUUGUAGCUUCUCCAAAAAUAGAUUUUUUUAGAGGAUAGAGAAAAUAUGGUUUAAAAGAUUGAACAAAUUUUGUAACAAAAAGUCUCUUUUAUAUAGUUGUAUCCAAACAAACUAAUUAUUUGUUUAAAAAGAUGAUUUUUAUUAAGGUAAACAAACGCAAAAUAGAUUCUGCUUUUUCCUAAAAUCUCUAAAUUAUUUUAUGUUAAAAUCACUUUUAUUUUAAUCCGUAACAAAUAGACCCUAUAUUUUAGAGAUUUUAUGAAAAAUCAGAAUCUAUUUUGCCUUUGUUUAGUGUAAUAAAAAUAACUUUUUUUAAACAAAUAAUUUAGUUUGUUUGGAUACAACUAUAUAAAAGGGAUUUUUUUGUUACAAAAUUAGUUCAAUCUUUUAAAGCAUAUUUUCACUCUCCUCUAAAAAAAUAUAUAUAUUUCUCAUUUUGAAGCUGUUUUUAGAUUUUUUUUUAAGAUUAUGAUUUUUUUAAAAAGUUGUAACAAACGGAUGCAACUCUCUUAAAAAUGAUUAUUUUAAAAAAAAAAGAAAAAAAAAGUGAUUUAUUUCUUAAAAAAAAAACUAUAAGAAACGGUUUGUGGUACCUAUUGAUUAAAAGGUGAUUUACAUGUACUUAAAAUAUAUUUUUUAUUCUAUUUGUGAGUACCUAUUAAGAUAUUUGUCAUGUAUUAGUCUCUGGUAAAUUUUAUUUGCGGAUACCAUGCAUACCAAAUUUUGCUCAUCUUUAAGUAUAUGUCUAACCUGAACAACGUCGGGUAAAUACACUAGUUUAUAAAUAAUUUCUUCUUUUAUAUCUUAACAAGUGUCUUUAGGAUAUUAUUAGCAUAAUCCAAAAAAUAAUUAAUAUUGAAUAGGAAACUGAGAUUUGUUAUAAUAUUUUUUUAUGAACAGAAGUUGCUAUUAAAAUAAAUCACCUUUUGUUUGAGAAUAAUUCAUUUUAAUACCAACAAUGAUUAAACUUGUACUAUGACUUAAUUGCAUAUUUGGUCAUUUAAUUUAUUUGUUGUUUUUAAUUUAGUCCCAUAACUUAUUAAUGUUACAUUUUGGUCUUUAAGUUAGACUUCGUUAACCAAAUAAAUCCUCUCCGUCAAAAAUGCUAACACAAUGUCUAUAGUGGAUACAUGUUGUAAGUGGUCCACCAAAGACCUUAGUAAUUUGUUUAAUAUUAAUUAUUUGAUCUUUUAAUCAAAAUGGCAACCAUUAGAUCAUGCAUGUCUACUAGAUCUAAUAGUACACCAUCAACAUCUAAUUUUUUUUAUACAUUUCUUUAUCUCCUUCUUUACUCAUCUUCUUCAUCUUCAUGAACAUAUUUGUACAUUAUUCAAAGAACUUUAAACAAACCCAGAAGAAAAAAAAAAAUUAGGUGGCGUUUCAUAUCACUAGAUUCUUAAAAUUUUGUAGCUUUAAUUCUUCAAUGCACGCAUAAAGCAAGAGAUCACCAAAUAUUUUAAAUUUAGGUGAAUUAAUUUUGUAAUAUUAGUUUCAACAUAAAAAGUGUUAGAGGAGGUAAAUUCAAUAUUGUUUUGAUACAUUGUAAAAGUCAAUCGUACAAUUAUUCCUUUUUAACAUUGACAGCCUACACAUAAGGAUGACACAAGGGACUUGCUGAUGAAUAGUUUUGAUUUUUGUGAGGAAGACAUUCAUCUCACGAUGGAUGAUGGAAACUACGGGAACCAAAUUGAGCAUCUUCAUUCCGCAUUGGCAAUAGCUACAAUGUUAGCCAAGUAAAUGGAGGAUGGUGAUGUGUUGGUUUUCUUUUAUAGUGGUGAUCGUCGUAGAGCUAAAGGAAAAUCACACAUCACAUCGUCGCUUCAGAUGGCAUUUGUUGUUAAAAGGACCAAAAUGUUAUAAGUUUUUUUUUACAAAAACAUACCCAAAUUAUUUGUUGUUAUUUUAUGAAACUGAAAAGGAUAUGUGGUUUUAAUUGAAUUUUUUAUUUGUUUUUGAAAUAAUUCUGAUCGUUUAUGAGUUUGAAGGUGUGGAUCUAAGUUUAAAACUUAUUAUGAAUUGAAAACAACAGAGAAGAGCUCAAAGAACAGCCACGAGUGAAAGAAUUUCAAAUGAAGAUGUUGUGUUGUUGUUGAUUCAAUGAGAAGAGUGAGAGAGUGUAGGAUCUUGUGUUUGUGUUUAUUUUGGUUAUGGUUAUGUGAAUGAGAAAGAGAAGACAUAAGAGAGAAGAGAAGAAGAAGAAGAAAAAAAAUAAGAGAGAAGAGAAGAAGAAGAAAGAAAAAAAAAAAAGAGAUCCAUUUUUUUUGGAUUUUAAUUUAUCUUUGGAAAGGAGAAGAAGAAAGGCAUAAAAAAAAAAUUAGGUGUUGAUGGCGUACUAAUCAAGUAGACAGAUAUGAUCUAAUAGUUGUCAUUUCGAGAGAAAAAAAUCAAACGGUUAAUAUUAAACAAAUUACUAAAGUCUUUGGUGGAACGCUUACAAUGUGUAUCCAUUUUAGACAUUGGGUUGACAUAUUUUGAUAAAGAGAAUUUAGUUGGCUAAUAAAAUCUAACUUAAUGGACCAAAAUAUAACGUUAAUAAGUAAUAUGAUCAAAAUGAAAACGACAAAUAAGUUAAGGCACCAAGAAUACAAUUAAGACAACUUGUAUAAACUCUUCUUGUGUGUAAUCAGCAAUGGCCCAUUUCUUGAUUAUGUAGUUUCUUUGAUGCUAAACUCAAAUCAUCAUAUCAGCUUUUUUUUAGUUUAAAGUUAAAACACCCAACAUAAAUUUAGGCAAUCAGUAUUAAAUAUAUUUUUCAUCGAACUUACCCAAAAAAACUCAUUAAAUGGAUGAUUUUUCACUUAUUCUUGUAAAAGUUUUGUUUCAAUUUGAUCUUUGUUUGUUGUUAAUUAGUUUGUUUUUCUUUUCAUAGUCUUUGAUGUUAGUUUGUUGUUGUUAAUUAUUGAGAUGACAAAGACCAAAUCACAAGAACUUUUAUUUUCUAAGGAACCAAAUUACAAGAACUAAACCGUAAAGCAUUAGUAUAGUCAUAUUACACUGACAAACAAAACUUGGACCUCCCUAAAAAAAACUUGGACCGAAAUGUUAUAAGGAUUUAUUACAAAAUGUUUUUAAUUUUCAAAAGAUCAAUGAAAGAUCAAAAUGAGGAAAAAAGUAUCUAUUUUGAAAAGAAAAAAAAUUCUAAAGACAAAUGAAAAUUCGAAUUAUAAGAAUUAAGAGCCAACAAAAUAGAUGAGAACAUAUUGUAUUGUAUAUUCUCUUGUAAUUUGAGGAAUGUGGGCAUCAAUUACAUCAAAUGCAAUUCUUAAAAAAAAAAAAAAAAAAAAAAUCAUAAAAGAAAAUAAUUAAUAGUAUUUAAGUUUGGCUUUCUCUAUGGUACACAUAUAUAGUAAUUUUGCAUCAUAUGAAAGUGUAUUUUUUUACCCCUUAAUCAAUAAGUCUCAUCUCAUUUGAUUAAAUAGUGAGAAUUAUUAAUCCAAAAGUAAUUUGUACAUGAUGUAAAACGUAUCUAACUUGCACAUAUUAUUCACAUACUAUUGGUUGGGUAAAGCUUGCAAUUCGCAUGCAUGCUAGUCUGCACAUUGUCAUGACAACAUUCUUUUGGGGGUGCAUUCAACAUGUUGAAUAUAUGCUUCGUUUUGGAAGUUGGAAAAUAACAAUUGAUAAUAAAUACACAAGACAAAAAUAUCGUAUCCGUUUCACAUGACUGUUUUUAUACCAAAAUUUGUGCAUAACAUAUUAGCAUUAGUUUACAAAAGCAAAUAUCUAAAAUAUAAGCAAAAAAUUAAUCAAGUACUCUAAAUAAAUGUUUAUCAUAAAAGAACUUAUAUAUAAGUUAUUUCUACUAUCGAAGAGAAAAUGAAAGUAAAAUCGUGUAAAUUAAAAACAGUUUAUGACCAGAAGUUAUUUGGAAAAGCUUUUGAUAAUAAGCUAACAACUACUUCAAGACAGAUAUAUGUCAAGCAAUUCUAAACAUAUAACCAACACUUGAGAUAAGUCCAAAUAAGUUCUUAUAAACACCUAAGCAUCAAAGUUCAUUGUGUUGGCAGAAUUUAAUUCCAAACCAAUAUUGAUGCUUUAAAUUACCUUAGUAAUUUAUUUUUUACCAACCUCUUCAUUUGCUAUGUUAUUAUGGGUCUAAAGUGUAGCUCAAAUCUGGCUUUCUUCAUCAAACAAAUAAGGCUAUUGAAAAUGCACAUGACAUCUAUAACAGAACACCGGUAAUAUACAUCAAGUGCCAUCGAUUUCUUCUAUCGCUGUCUAAAAAGAACCAAUGAACCAAACCCAGAUUUUGCAAAUGACAAAUUAUGACAAUCUAAAAAAAAAAAAAGGUACAUGCUAAAACUCAUGAACCAGCCAAGCAACCAGAAAAGAGAACCAUUGAAGGAAUCAGCUCAAAUAUAUUCGAAUCCAAAAACUUUUAUUCCCUUUCCUUCGGACAAAGAUUGGAGGCACAUCAUCCUUAGAUACUUGGGAUGGAUUUUGAUCGAAUAAGGUUUUUAAGUAGAGCUUUCUCUUCUUCAAUUUUCCGUUUCUCCUCUGAAUCUUUUGGUUUGAUAUUUCUCUUCUCUUCCAAUAUCCACUUGAAGAGUUCCCGCUGUUGGCCUUCUGGAAUCGGUUCUCUUUUAAUCACGGGAUUUGCAAUUGGUGGCGGGGAUGCAGAUGUCACAGCAACAGGAGCUGUAGUAUCUUUAACUGAAAUUGGGGGUGCUGCAUCUUUUUCCUCCACCUCAGUAUCUUCCUUCUUUGUGCUUGUUCUUGCAAACAAAUAAACUACAGAUUUCAGACAAUCAUCAGAUACAACAUCAACAAGUUCAGGAUAGGUUUUGACAGUGAAAUUCACUCAAAUUUAGAAAACGAUCAGAAAAACCACAUGGGUAAGAUAUGAUAUGCUGGCAGAGAAAGUAGUUCAUUCAAAAUAUACAGACUAAUCUCUCAUGUUAUAUGUACUGACCUUUUCAGUAUGUUAAACUAUGUGUAUACAGAAUUGAGAGGCUAACUUAGCUAAAUUAUUGCUAGAGAAUAAACUAGUAACAAGAUCAACCAACACCUUUUGCUACUCAAGUGGAUAUCACACAAGGAUGAUGUCCAUGAUGUAUCAGCUCAAUGGAACAUGUUUGACUUUAUAAACUCAAGGGAUGGAGUUCAUAUCCCUUUGAAGACAAUUCUAAAAUAGCCAUUAGUGUCACUUUAACUAAUGAUAAUUUAUGCUUCCCCGAUGUUUCUUUACAAAAUCACAAGGAUGAUUUAAAAUUGAUGGCUCCUAUUUGUUGCUAAAGAAUGUAACUCGACAAGAAAGCAAUUGGAAGAUAGUGCAUAAGAAUACUAGUAAAAGUGGGUACUAAAUUUAGAAAACUAACUGUAACUUUGCUAUUAUCAAAUGUCCGUAAUUUUGAAGUAAAUACUAGGACAUUGCAUAGCUACUAACCAGUAGUUUGUCUAUAUGUAAAAUAGUACCAGAAAUGUGUAUUUUGUAUGUCUUUCAUUUGAUCUCCAGGCCUUUUAUCCUCUAUCUAAUUUACUAUCAUGUACGGUAGUACAAGAGAAAUUGCUUACACAUGUGAUUUCUCACAGACCUAAAACAAACAUACUCAGGCAAAGGGCAAUUGGUCAUCUUCAGUAAGUUGUGAGGCAAUUUCUGCAAGGUUAUAUUCAAAAUAUGUCCAUUUGAUGGAAUUUAAUACCAUUUAGGUUUCCAUGUAUUAAUUAGGAAAAUUUUAACAAUUAUAAGACUACAGAUCUUUUUCAAAUAUGUAUAUAGGAUGAUGUAUUACGAAAUUAUAAGGAUUACAUCAAGUUGUGGUCAAACCUUGUUUGAAUGGAUCGAUAUAAAGACAAUUAUAAACCAUAACAAUGAUUAUAAAACCAUAGAACCUUCAAAGUUGCAAUGAUGUUAAACUAGCAAACAGAUCUUAGAAGUUAGAAUGAUGCUACUAAGAACAUCAACUAUUACAUUAUAUAUUAAUAAAAUAAUAAUCAAACAAGCAUCACCAUAGAAAAGACAUAAGGUAGCCUCUUGUGUAUCGGUAGAAGAUGAAAAUAAAUAAAAUAACAAAGAAGGAAAUAAAAGGAAGAAUACAAGAAGUAGAUGAUGAAUGCUAGCUUCUAACCCCCUAGGCCGACUCCGUUAAACUCGGAUUUCUGGCUAUCCCACAAAGAUGUGUCCCCUUCCUAUUCUUAACGACCUCCCUUCAUCCCAUUUUUCCUGGUGCCCACUCAAUUUCUACUUAGCAUAACCAUCCCACCCCCUAAGUCUCAUCGGAUUUGGAUUCCAUAUGGUCUGGAAAUCCGAAGUUAAGCAAUCCAAACCGUCUAAUACUCACGUCCUGACAUUGUAAAUUGAUUUCAAAUACCAAGUCCGCACGUGAAUCAUCCAAUCUUUAUCUAAUGAUUUUGACUGUGAUUGCGGAAAUACGUGAUCCCCUGACUACAUGGGAUCCAGAUUCAAGUCUCAUCCAGUCCACAAUGUCCACAUAUACCUUUUUCCCUUUUGUGGAACAUACCUUCCACACAUUAGGCCAUGGCUUAACUGCUGCAUUACUGGGCACUUAACAUCAGUCACUAACUAUAUCGGUCUCAAACAUUUAUUUAUUUUUUUUUAUUUUAUAUUCAAUAUAUGGCUGUUUAUACUUUAUAUUAUUCAUGUAAUUUGUCCCAAAAAAUGAUCAAUUGUGGCGAUCCCGCUAUCUCCUUUUUGGGGUCGGACGCUCCGCGCCAUUAUCCGGGAUUGACUACCUAGGUGCAGUAGAAUCAGAAGAUCAUUAAGCCCACCUCUCCAAUAAAAAAAAUACUACAAUAGAGCAGAACUUAUGAUCUCACUAACACCACCCUCGUGAAUCAACUUGGCAAAGUCAAAUGCAGCUCAAUGGAACACCAUAUUGACCUUCCUGCCUCAACCAAUAUCAGCACAUCAAUUUUCGCGGAUAUUUUCCACAAACAAACAUGGGCAAGGUAAACCAAACCAUAUAACACUCAACUUGUAGUUUCAAGUUAGCUUCCCCCAUUUCUCCACAAACAGAAUCAAAUAUUCAAGGAUGUCACCCAAUGCAAUUUCAAAGUGAAAAAGAAAAAUUACGACCAGUUUAGUUUGAUAAAACAUCACCUUAACUUUCAUUUCCUAUUUUACUUUUAAUUACAAAAACAUCAGGUUAUUUUAUUUUUAAGUUUGCUUUCUUUUCCUCCUUCUAUGUGAUCAAUAAGUGAUAAUACAAAAGUUGGGUAGCUCAGCUGAUUUGAGCUAAGGGAUAAGGAGUUGGAGGUCUGAGUUCAAACUCGGAUGAAAGAGUAAAUAUAAAUCUAACAAUUAAUUAAUGAAAUUAGCCGUUAAAAAUAAAUAAUACUAGCAACCAUGAGGUUGGAUAGCUCAACUGUUUUGAGCUAAAGGUCAAAGGAACUUGAGGACCCCGGUUCAAACCUGGUGAGUGAAAAAAAUACUAACCUAACAACUUUUUUGAGCUAAAGGUUAAAGGAACUUGAGGACUCCCGGUUCAAACCCGGUGAAUGAUAAAAAUACUAACCUAACAACUAAAUUAUUAACUUUGGCCAUUUAAAAAAAAAAAAAAACAAUAGGAAUUGAAGCUAACAUUUUCAUGAGAGAAAAAGGAAACUUAGAUUACUCUUCAACCUAAAAGAUCUAGCACAUCACUACAACAACAAAUCAUAAUCCAAAAGAACAAAAUUAAACAAGUGUCAGUAAAAUCAAACCCAAUUUCACAAGUUCAUCCAUCAUCAAAAGGGGGCAAAAACUUAACCGAAAAAUCGAAUUUUUAGCUUUUUGGGUUGUAGAAAAAUUACCUCCAAUACCAAAAUUGACAGCCAAUAGCAUAGGCCAAACGAACUUGUAGCGCUUAAUGAAGGGUUCCUUAGGCAGCGGCGGAGGUGGAGGAGGAGCCGUUUGAGUCCCCAUUGACGGCGGCGAAGAGAAUUCGUUCGAUUUCUGUUGGCCUCGAAAUUGCUUCAGCUGCGCUGUUACAAAAAAAAAAAAAAAAAAAAAACAAUGAAUCGAAACAAGAGAGAAAAAAAUCCUUCAAGUGAGAGGAAAAAAAAUAGUACAUUUUUUGGGUUUGUGAUUAUAUAGUUUUGGAGAAGAAGCAUGAUCAGCACUACCACCACCUUCACUCAUUCUUUUCUUCACUUUUACCCUAAUUACCAAAUCACAUUUAAGACUCUAUUUGAGUUAAUAGAACAUAACAGACGAAAACAGAAAGAAAUGUAGUCUUUAAACCACUACAAAAUUUUUUGUCCGAUCUACAGAUGAUUUAAAAUACCAAAAUAAAAUUUUGUUCAUCAAAAUUCGUACAAGACAAAAAAAAAAUGUUCGAUAUUAUAAAAGUUUAUUAUUUCUUAUGUUGUGUUGUUUUAUCUUAAAUUGUUAUAUUAAAUACUUACAUUUUUGCAUAUCAAAAUUCAAAUGUACCCUACCCUAACUAUCGGUGGCAUUUAGGGUGGGUGAGGGAAAGAAUUUCUCAUCGAAAGAUACUUUUAAACCAUUAGAUCAAAUAAAGACUAUGGUAAUAUCAUAGUCUCUCAACAUUAGAUUAUUUUUUCAUUAUCUUCCAUCAUGCUUCUCUCUCCAUGUCUUACUCACUCACCACCAACAACAACAAUAACAACAACAACCUCUCAAAUCCAUUUGUUCCUCCCAACACUAUUUUUUUACACUAUUUUUCACCAUCUUUGUUUCUCCUAUGUGUCCUCCCUUCCCCCACCACCAUCAGUACCACCACCAGCAACCUCAAGAUUUAAUUUCACCUGGUUACCACCGUAGUUCCUAAUACAAUAGCUUUAAUCACCAUUUAAAAAAAAAACAAAAAUAUCCGAGAUUCACAAUUUCUAGCAUUUUUGUGGAAUGACCCAAAUCUAAAUUCACAACAGUUCACAUUCUCCAUCCAAGAUCCGAAGAAAAUCAAAAGAUAUGUUCAACAUAAAUGAGCCACGUUUAUAUUGGUUCCCCUUUGCUGGAUUAAGCAACUUUAAAGAACAUUAAACAGCAUAUAAAAGAAUCAAUUGAAGGAAUCAAUGAGUUUUCAGAAAUUAAUGGGUUUUUACUUUUUAGAAAUUAAUAGUUAAUUAUAUUCAUUUUCGUUUUUGUUUUCAGAAUCAGAAAUUAAUGGAUGAGAGGCUCGAAUUGGACAUGCAAUAGAGGUUAAAGUUAUUGAUGGUGGUGUAGGUUAAUUGCACGUUUUAAAAUCUGAGGUUGAAGACAAAUGCAAAGAAAUAAUAUAGUAAUGACAGACCAUCAUAAAAUAUGUGCUCCUCUUUAAUCUAAUGAUCAAAAAUUACUUUCCCGUGAUGGAAAAAUCAUUCCUUCAUCCACCCUAAAUGCCACCCUAACUAUCAAGAAUGAGUAAAAAUAUCUCUUAAAAAAUAUAUGAAUAAAAAUGUAUUUACUGUAGGGACCAAAAAUGUCUUUAAUGAAUUAUAGUGUAUUCAAUUCAAUUAUUCUCACUACAUGAAGAACUUUAGUGCUAACUUUGAACUUAACGUGGUCUCAGAACAAUGUACCUUAUUAUCUAUACCCUAAUUGCAGAAAACUACACACUGUUACUGAUAGCGUAUCAUUAUAUUUAAUCUUUUAAAAAAGUUAUUUUAAAUUUAAGUAAAGUGAGAGAAUAAGAUGGUGGAUUCUAGGGUGAGGGUCCAAUUAAGUCCUUCACCGGUGGACCACGAAGGAAAUACCGUUGGAUGAAAUGAAUGGUUCCGAUUUGUUAAAAAUAAUAUUGAGAACUUUUACAUUUGUUCACACACAAUUUUCUCCCACAUCUUCCCUUCUCCUUCUCCUUCUCCUUCUCCUAUCACUUGGUGAUCUUCCAUCACCCCACCCUUCAUUUUUAUCAAAUCAGAUAACCUCUCACCAUAACUUGAGCAUAAUUUUUCCUCCUACUCCACCGAUUCAUGAAAAUUGUAGUAUAUUGCAUUCCAAUUUUGUGUUGAAUAUUACUUGGUUCAAAAAAGGAUGAGUCCAAUUAGGUAGUUUGGUGUUGUUGCAAGGGUCAAGAUAUACAUAUUGCUAAUUUAAUUCCAUUCCACGCCAUUGCCAUGCAUCAUCUACUAAUUAAUUAAGCCUUCGUCUUCAUUUUUUAUUUCAUGUCAAAGCUUAUUUAAGCAAUUCAGAGAAUAAUUAAUUGGACGGAGAGAGAAGAAUCAAUAAAAUAGGGAAAAAGAACCAUACUCGGAUGACGGUGAGAGGUUCCCCAAUAUGAGAAAAAUGAAGGGUGGAGGUUGAUGGAAGCCUGACACGAGGAAGGAGAGGGGAAGAGAUCAUGGGACAAGAUUGUGCGUAAACAAAUGUAAAUGUUCUCAAUAUUACUUUUAACAAAUCGGAUCAAUUCAAUUAAUCUAACGGUAUUUCCUUCAUGGUCCACCGAUGAGGGACUUAAUUGGACUCUCACUCUAGAAUCCACCGAAUAAGACCGUCUCCACCGGGGUCUCAAAUUUAAAGACUUGGUACCUAUUAGAUACUUCAAUGGGUCUUAGAAUAUUUAUAGUCUUAAUUACCUUUUUGGUCCUCUAACUAUUUAAUUGGUAUCGGAUUGAUCCUCUACCUAAAAUUUGAUUUAUUUCGGUUUUCUAAGUUUCUCACCGUUACUACAUUUAGUCCUUUCUGUUAGUUUUAUUCAAAUAAACGUUAGGGUUUGUGUUAUGUGGGUAUCUGACCUCCUGUUUCACACAUACAUAUGAACCAUAACAGUUACCAAUAAUAUUUGUCAUUAUUUAAUUAUAAUACCUUAACUAGGCAUAUGACCAAAAUGAUACUAAUAAAUAAAGUUAGAUGACCCACAUAACACAAACUCUAACGUUUAUUUGAAUAAAACUAACAAAAGUGACUAAAUGUAGUAACGGUGAGAAACUUAAAGGACCGAAAUAAAUCAAUUUUUAGUUAGAGCACCAAUCCGAUACCAAUUAUAUAGUUAGAGGACCAAAAAGAUAAUUUAGCCAUAUUUAUAUUAACCGCUAAUGCACGGUUGGUUUCUGCUUAGUUUAUGAUUUGUUUCAUCCUAUAUGCAGAGAAUAUAACGAGAAAUCCCCAUUGAAGGGUGUGAUUGUUGUUGUAACACAUUGAAUUUGACUAAAUGAAAGACUCUCAAUACAAAGGAUGAGGAUCAAUUAUACGUAGAUCCAAAGUGGAAUAAAAGGAAACCAUGUCUAGUGAAAUUAAUUAAAUGAUUAAUGCUUGGCUAUUAUUAUGAAGAAAAUAGAAAAUAGAGAGGGGGAAAUGACGAUUCAACCUUCUACCUCUAAUUUAGAGGAGAAAAAAAUUGCAGCAUUAGACAAAAUGGAAUUAUGUUAUAUUUCAUUCACAUCCAUUGCAUCAUUUCAUUAUUUCAAAUUGCAAGCAAAAGGUAACAUCCAACUUUCACUGGCAGCAUAAUAAAAAUAUUCGAUUUUUUCUACAUAGUAAAAUGGUGAAUAUGGACCAACAUGAUCAAUAGUAAUGGGUUCUUCCAUCACAUCUUUUUUGUAAACUACCUUUGUAAUGUAUAGCUCUUUCUUUUUUUUGUGCCAUCAAUUUCUUGUACAAUUGUCUAGUAAGAAAGAACCCAUGAGUCAAACCCAAAUUUGCAAAUUGCAAAUAAUGACAAUCUAAAAAAAUAUGUACAGUCUAAAACUCAUCAACCAACCAAGCAACCAGAAAAGUGAACCAUUGAAGGAAUCAACUCAAGUAUAUUCAAAUUAAAAAAAAAAUUCCCUCUUUCCUUUGGACAAAGAUAGGAGAAACAUCAUCGUUAGAUACUUGGGAUAGAUUUUGACCGAAUAAGGUUUUUAAGAAGAGCUUUCUCUUCAUCAAUUCUCUGUUUCUCCUCUGAAUCUUUUGGUUUGAUCUUCCUCUUCUCUUCCAAUAUCCACUUGAAGAGUUCACGUUGUUGGCCUUCCGGAAUCGGUUCUCUUUUAAUCACAGUAUUUGCAGUUAGGGGCGGGGACACAGAUGUCUUGACAACAGGAGCAGUAGUAUCUUUAAUCGAAACGGGAGUUGCAUCUUUUUCAUCAUCCACAGUUUCUUUCUUCUUUGUGUUUGUCCUUAAAGCCCAAUAAACUGCAGAGUUCAAACAAUUAUCAGUCACAUAUCUAGCAACAAGUUCAAGAUAGGUUUUGACAAUAGAAAUUCACUUAAGUGAACUAGAGUUCGGAUCAGAAAAACCAGAGUUAAAUUUGAUAGUUAAAAAUGUGACAUGCUAGCGGAGAAAGUAGUUCAUUUAAAAUAUAAUUGACUAAUCUCGUGGUUAUAUACCCCAGUUAGUGGGAUAAGGAUUGGUUGUUGUUGUUGUUGUUGUAAUCUCGCGGUUAUAUAUGCAAGGAUGACUUCAAAUUCCCUCGAGGACGGUUGUAAAAUGGUCAUUAGUAUCACAUUAAUUAAUAAUAAUUUCUUCCACAAUGUUUUAAAAAAACACAAGGAUGACUUCGAAUUGAUGGCUCCUAUUUGUUGCUAAAAACUGUAACUCUAGAAGAAAGCAAUUGGAAAACAGUGCAAAAGAAUACUAAUAAAAGUGAUUACUAAACAGUGUUAUCAGAUAUCUGCCUUGGUGGCGCCAUGGCGGAUAGUGGCGGCGGACUUUUUAACAACUUCCAUGACCAAUUUGCGAAGGAUGGUGGCACCAAGGUGUUUUAAGGCAAGAUAUGAGGGCUCAAAAUGGCGGAUUUUCGGGUUUCUUCCAUCCGCAAGCGAUAAUGCUGUAACUCAAUUUAGAAAAUUAAUUUAGGAAGCGAACUUGAAAUUUAUUAUCAAAACCUAAAUGCAGCUAGCCAUAUUUUGAAGUAAUUACUUGAAGAUUAGAUAGCUAGUUUACAUGUAAAAUAAUACCCUAAAUGUGUACUUUGAUUUGAUCUUCAGGUCUUUUUUCCUCUAUCUAAUUCACUGAGUUUAAAAACGUCCAUUUGAUAAAAUGUAGCACUAUUUAAUUUUUUACCCAGGGAAGUUUUAACAAGUAAACAGCUAUAGAUCUUGUGCAAAUAUACAUAUAUAGGAUGAUGUAUUGAUGGCUUAUAGUUAUAAGGAUUACAGCACGUUUUAGUCCAAUCUAUAGCUUCAAACAUUAGUAAGGUGUGAGCUAGAUUAUUGUUGUAGGUCAAACCUUGUUUCAAUGAAUCAACAUAAGGAAAACUAUACAUUAUAACAGUAACCGUCAAAACAAUAGAACCUUCAAAGUGCAAUGAUAGAAAUUAUGCUACUUACUACUAACAAACUCAACUAUCAUAAUUAAGAAACUCAACUACCGUAAUUAAGAAAUAAUGCUACUACUAGAAACAGAUCUUAGAAACAAUGCUACUACUAACAAACUCAACUAUCAUAAUUAAGAAAGUGAGAAUGAAGGAAUCAUCACAACAGUAAAGACAUAAGGCAUCCAUCCUAUGGUACAAAUCCGAACACAAAUAACAUGAAAGAAGCAAAAGUAUUCAGAAACAUGAAUGUAUCGGUAGAAGAUGAAAAUAAACAGAUUCAGAAUAACAAAGAAAAUAAAAGAAACAACACUAGAAAUUGCAGAUUCUGUUAUACUCGGAUAUAUGGCUAUCCCACAAAGUGCCCCCUCCCUAUUCGUAACCGCCUCCCUUCUUCCCACUUUUCCAGUACCCCACUCAAUUUCCACUCAGCAUAACAAUCUCAUCCCCUAAGUCUCCUCAGAUUUAGAUUCCCUACGGUCGGAAAAUUCAAAGUCAAACAAUCUAAACUGUCCAAUGCUCACAUUCCGACUUUGUAAAUUGAUUUCAAAAACCAAGUCAGAACGUGAAUCAUACAAUCUUUAUGUAAUGAUUUUGAUUGUGUGAUUGUGGAAAAUACAUAAUUCCUUGACUACAGGGUAUCCAGAUCCAAGUCUCCUCCACACCACCUAUACCUUUUCCCCCUUUUCUGGAACAAACCUUUCCAUAUCUUGGGGCCAUCAUUUAACUGCUGCAUUUUUUAUUUUAUUUUUAAACUUGGUAUCCGGCCCAAGGACCAACUAAUCUUAUGGGCCCAAUCCCACCAUCCACUUGCACGGCCACAUAUAGCUCUGUACGGGACUUAGCUGAUCAAAAUUGGCAUAUGGGAGAAUCAAACUAGAGAGACCUUGAGAGGAGCACACUCCAAGGUCCCAAGCUAACACCGCUAUGCUAACAUUUAACUAUUGCAUUAACGGACAAUUAAUUACAAAAAACAUCAUGAUCAUGAAUCAUAAAUUAUUCUCCAACAUGAACUAUCUAGUACAGCAACAAGUCAAAGAAAUCAAACCCCAUUUCACAAACUCACCAAUCAUAAAAAAUGACUAAAAACCUAACCUAAAAAACUAAUUUUUAGCUUUUGGGGAUUUAGAAAAAUUACCUCCAACACCAGCCAAAAGCACAGGAAAAAAGAACUUGUAGUGCUUAAUAAAGGGUUCCUUAGGUAGCGGCGGCGGAGGAGGAGCCGUUUGUGCCCCCAUCGACGACUGCGAAGAGAACUCGUUCGAUUUCUGCCCUUGAAAUUGCUUCAGUUGCGCUGUUACAAAAAAUAUAAAUUAUGAAUUGAAAGCAAAAAAGAAGAAAAAUUCCUCAGAGAGAAAGAGAAAAAAAGAAUACAUAUUUUGGGUUUGUGAUUAUAAAGCUUUGGAGAAGAACCGUGAUCAGCACCACCUUCACUCAUUCUUUUAUUCACUUUUACCCUAACUCAGAUCACACUCUACUUGUCUUGCAAUACAACCAAACUCUUUUGUUUUUUCAUUAACUUUCUCACCAAGUUUUCUUUAGUUUUUUCUUUUUUCUUUUUUAAGAAAAAAAUAAUAUUAUUAUAUGUCUCACACAACCAUAAUAUCAACAUUGUUAGAUUUGAUAUAUGUAAGGAUAGUAAAAAACUUGUAGUUACAUACACGGGAUAUGUAUCCUAACAUAUAUUCGUGCUCCUUAUGUAAUGGAUGUAUGAAUAUAGAUUUAACGAUAGUAUAUAUGAAAUUCGUAUUUAUUAAUAAAUUAACUAUAUUGCUUAAAUAUCUUUAACUAAAUAUACAAGUUUCAUUUUAAAUUGAAAACCUAGAUAUUGUUUAUGCUAUUCUUCUCGAGCAGGCCUCUUGAAAUUUCACCGUAACUCAGAUUUUUUUAUGCUUUUGUGGAAUGUAAUGGACUUUAUUUUGAUUGUAAAGGAAAUGUAUGAAUGUUAUUAUAUUUUGGUAAAAAUGAAAUGAAUGUGAUGAUCUAUUGUUGUUAAAUUGAGAUGAAAUAAUGUGAUGAAUUCGCUUCUUAAAUUUUAGGUAAAUAAAUAAAGGAUUAUACAAAUCAUUUAAAAAAAAUGUUCUCGGUGGAUAUCCAUAAAUACCUACAAGUACUUGAAAUUUGUGGAAUACUUGUUGUUUAUACUUAAAAAUAAUUAUCAUAUUAGCCAACAUCAAUAAAUAGAUGAUUGAACUUUAGGCAAGGAAACUUCCCGGUCAAUGAAAGGUUAGGCAAUUUCUCAAGUCAGCCAAGAGGGUAUAUGGGACGUAAGAACCUCAUACUGAGUCAUAAUUAAGUGGGAUUGGACAAUAAUGCAUAAAAUUCAUGUUUUCUUGUUUGUAGUGCCAUUAACUAAAAAGAGGGUGAAAGAGCAAUCAUGUUCAUAGUGGAGUUGCGGACCAAAAGUUUUGUCAAUGAAUCAUGCCAUGAAGGGAGAAACUCAUAGUCGAACACGGGGCACCAUAAACUCCUGAAUGAGGAAAACUAACACACUACCCACAAAACUAGCUUAGCAGAGCCUAUACAAUUAAGGUCACGUUGUUUGGCUAAUAUGCAUAAUUUAGAGACAUCCAAUUAAACACAAAACUUAUUUUGCUAUAUUUACAUAUCUUUACCGGUCUUCCUUUUUCUAUCUGUUCAUGUAUUUCUUGGUGUAGCUAAAAAAACGUUUUGGGAAAUUUUUCGGUUAAAAAGGAAAAUAUAGUAAAAUGAGUGUGAGCCCCGUGAUUUAUUUAUUUUUGUUGAAAAGGGUGCGUGAUAGCCAUGGAGGAGAAGAAUUUCAUUAAACAUUGACUGUUUCUUUUCCAACCCUAUGGUUGUACAAUAUAUCUCUUAAAAUUGCUCACAUUUUUUGGACUAAAUCGAUUUGGAUAAUGAGACCAGUAUACCUCUCAAUAUUCCUCCAUUGGUCUUUGAUGGUAUUUUGUUCAAGUAAUUUUGGAUUAAAUCAUCAUUUUCUCGUAUCAUUAAUGAAGGAUAAUUUUAUAAAAUCAUUUAUACUUGCUUUUUCACAUAUAAAAUUAACUAUAUUUUUAAUUCGUAUGGAAUAGUUAAAGAUCUAUGAUUUAAGAUGGAGGAAAUAACAAUCAGUAAUGAGUAGAUUUUUUAUUUGGUACAAUAGAGGGAUAUCUACAACAAAAUUUUAUUGACUCAAACAAACCAUGUUACAUGAUAAAAAAUCAUUCCUUGAAGUAUGUGUAACCAAAAUUCUAGUUGAGCAUAAAAUGUGAAAAUUAAAACAUUUCAUAAAACUACAUAUUUUCAUCACUUUUAGACAGACAGGAAGAAUAAUUCAUAAAGAUUGUUGAAAAUCCUCGACUGGCCCAGAAAAAGAUAAAAAUAUUAGAGAUUCUUUUGAUGCAUUUUAUUUGCAAAAUGUUAUCUUAGGACAUGAUUGAAUUUCCUUUUUAACUAGUGAUGGGAGAACUUGAGACACAUUCCAACUACAUUCUAUUUCAUGCUAGAAAUCUAAACCCAUUCAUGUCCUUACAAAUGAAAAAAUGUUCAUGUCGUGGUCCCAUAGCAAAAGAUAUUGUUCUGAGAAGCACACAAUCAAGAGAUGAUAAUGCAACAAUAUCCUUUGAUUCUAUGUAAUAAUAUACUUAUAGAUUUGUAUUGUAAUUAAAAAGUGUACCCAAUCACUUGAAGUAACAACAAUUAAUAAUAUGAAAUUGUGUCCCUUUGGAUUUGACAUUCGUAAUGCAUUUGAUUUCUUAAAUUUUAUCCACAAAUUUAAUUUGUUUGAAGAGAAUAGAAUAUGUGAUGAACUGAUGAUAGGGUUUGAUUGUAACAUCACAUUCAUGGAUAAGGCAUAGGCAAAUAGAUAAUGACUCAUAAAUUGAAUGCUAUCUAUCUUCUCAAGUUGUAACUACAUAUUGAUGUUCAUUUGGAUCAGGUAUGGGAGGUUACCCAUUCUAUCAACUUUAUAGAUAUGUUCAUAGUUAUUGUAUGGUAUUACACUUGAUGAAUAUGUGACAUUCACAUUCCUUUCAGCCAACAAUAAUAAUUUAAAAAAUAAAAAAAAAAAAAAAAAAAGAGUGGUAUUCUCUUUGCCUUGGUAGAUAGUCUUUUUUUCUUUUUUGAAAAUUGGAAGAAAAUAAAAAGUGUUAACGUUUAGAAGUAGGAUAGUGGUCCAACAACUUUAAAGUACCAGCAAUACAUAGUUUCUCUUUCCCACCCAAAGAAGCAUAAAAUUAAUCUUUGCAAUAUUGAUUAAAGAGUAUUGUUCAAUUUAACUCAAUAUUAUCUUUUAUGUCCGGUUAGUUUGGUUAAUUGGACACAUGGUCCUUGUUGGCAUUGUCUAGUUGUGAGUCAAUGUGAAUUGACACUCAACAAAAGAAUUGCACAAUGUUUAGAAUUUAGAACAUGGGAUUGGUCCCAUCACAACUUCCAAAAGAACAAAGCAAAACAAAAUCAUAAUGAAAUUAACUAAUGACAUUGAGUUAUAUGUAAGCAAUUAGUUUGGUCUAUAAGAUCUUCAAAACUUAGAGGAAAAUCCUAUUUCAAGGAACUAUGGUAGUUGAACUAAAAGUAUAUGCAUCAUGCCAACUAUGUCUAACUACCUUCAUUUUUUGGGUCUCAAUCAAGCUUAACUAAAAUAGGACCAACGGAUUCUAGCUAAGUACAAUUAUGUUUACUAACUACCGAAAAAGGAGGUAUAUUACGAAUAGAAACUUCUAAUGAUGUAAAAGAGUUAGUAACUUGGGAAAAUAUCAAUAUUAUAAUUUAGAGCAUAUUUUUCCUUAAAUUCACUAAUGACAAAGUUAGGUAUAGUUCAAUUAAUGACCUAAGAUCUCAGAUUAGUACAGUGAUUAAAAAAUGUAACUAAAAUUUAAAAAGAUAAGCUAACAUGACACAGGUCAUAUAUAUAGUAUAGAGUAGUGAAAGGUACAUCUCAAUUACUAGCACUAAUAAUAAAUACUUGAUCACAAUAGUAUAGAUGGAAAUUUAUAAUAUUAUUGUUCUUGUGAAAUGAAUGGCUGCUUAUUUUUUUUAGGGAGAGUGAUGCAAGUGCUUAUCUGCCUUAUAGAUUAGAAAUGGAUUGAGAUGAGAGGGAAACAAAUGCGUGACUCACAUUAGGAGAUAAGGGGCCCCUUAGUUAUCAUUCUCAUUAUAACCCAACCAAAAAUUAAGAUUCUAAUCAUGGUUUUAUUGCUUUUGCAAAAAACAAAAAAAAAAAAAUUAUCAUAUUUUAUCCAUAUAAAAGUGUUUUCAUCUAUCUUAUUUUACAAAUUGGGACAAAUGUAUACCGUUAAACAUCUAUCACAAUACCAAUAAUCCUAGAGUCUUCAAACUUGUGGUACAAAAUUUGAAAACAAGUUAAAUUGGUUGAAAUUUUUUUUUUUUUUGUAUUUUCACAAAUUCAAGGACUAAUUUAUUAUAAGGAAACAUUGAAAGAUUAAUACGUUACAAUCUUUUAACUUAUAUGAUCACAUAAGAUAUUUGACCUAUAUAAUAAUAACUUGGGGUGUUGUGCAUUUUCUUCUUUGAUAGUGAAUGAUGACAAUUAAUUCAAAUCUCCACCAAACACAAUAUAAAAAACAAAGUGCAUGCAUGCACAUAUAUUUUAAAGAAAGCUUAGAGAAGAAGAAAAAAUCAGGAUGUGCAUUUUAACAAAAGGAAAUCCCAGUUAGCCCUCCUUUAAACAAUUAUAUUACAAUAUGAAUAUGAAUAUGAAUGAAUUGUCAUCAAUUUAGUAUUGAAAAUAAAAAGGUACUAUUAUGUACGACGCCAUAAGUCUUUGAUGCUUCAAUAUGAUAAGAUGACAAACACAAUCAUGUUUACCGAUUUAUUGAUUAAAUUUGAUUACCGUGUAGAACUAGAUCUUAAUUAUUAUAGUACUCAAUAUAUUAGUUUAGACUUGAUUCACUAUAACUCCAUCCCAAUCCAAACUCUCACACUUAUGUUGAAUUUGAAUUAUGUAGCUUGUUCAUAACCAUGUUAUAGUUAUAAAGUAAAGUAUAUACCGUCGUUUAGUGAAGAUUAAUCUCUAUAAUAAAAUCAAUAAACACGAAUUCUCUCUUCUUAACUAAUUUUCUUUAAAACGUGUAUCAAACCGUUAACCAUUUGCUUAAGUGUUCGAAAUCCCCGACACUCAAAGCAACAUGUAUAAUGUAUUGUUGUAGCUUGGUUUAAAUUACACAUUUGAUGUAAUUGGAUUGGAUAAGAAUUGCAAUUGGUCCCUCUUCAUCUGUCCCAUGCAUGCACUUUAUUCAUGCCCUCACAUUUUAGCGACCACUAUUUUGUUGGAUAAAUUAGACCCUACCAAAUCCGAUCGAUGACAAGUGGUGGUGACGGGAGAGAUGCAAAGAAGCUUAGCAACAAUAUCCAAAGUGGGAGUGUAUACGUGGCAAACUCAUCCUUUUAUAAGAUAAAAUCUUCUUAGUUAUAUUUGAAUUUGAGAAAACAAGAUAGUUUAAUUUUGACUCGCUUAAAUAUGUUUUUAGUCUCAAUAAAAUUUUAAAUAAUAUCUAUUUUUUAAUAUAAAAAAAAAUUAACUAUUAGUUUCUACAAUAUUUUCCGUCAACAGUUUUAGUUCAUAUAAAAUAAAAAUAUAGAUUGAAGUUUUAUCAGAAUACUACCACACUUUAAAUAUAGUAUGUUUUAUGUGUAAAUGACUUCAAAAUUUGAUUUUUAAAUUUAAAUUUUUGUAAUUUUAAUUUCUUGAACUUUUGACACUUAAAAAUUUAUAUUUGAUUAAUUUUUUAAAAUAUAUAUAUAUAUAUAUAUAUAUAUAUAUAUCCUCAUAGGAGAUAUCAGAUAUAUGUAUAAAUAUUAUGCAGGUUUGAGAAAAUUUAUUCAAAAAAUUUGAAUGAUACACAUGAAUCAACUUAAUAGUAAGGACUAAAACAAUUGACCGAAAAUAUUGUGGGGAGUAAAAGUUGAAAAAAAUUAUAUGAACUAAAACGAAAUUUUGAAAUUUUAUAAGAAAUAAAAAAACAUAUUCAAUCUUGGUACCAUGUUUCCAUAUUAAUUAGGGACCUUAGAUCUCAUAUUAGUACCAUGAUGAAAAAAAAUAAUGAGCUAAAUACGUGAUUAGAUCAAUUUAUUUUAGAAUUGAAAAGGUUAAUAAACUUUUUUGAGAGUAAAAAUUAAAAUACUUUUUGACAAAAAAAAUUAAAAUACUUUUAAUCUACCAUGCAUACUGAUAUCUUUGUCACUAUGAAGUCUGAAAACAAUUGUGAGUUUGCGAAUUUUAGUUGUUUUCAAAUUAAUUUCAAACAAUGAUCACAAAAUAUUUAACAAACUAUAUGACUAUUGGACUGAUUAAUAGUAUAUCUAAUCAUAAUUUUCAAAAUUCAACAUUUUGCAAAGUAUAAGUUAAACACACAAUCACAUUGCUGACAACAAAAUUGGAUUGUCACCAAUUAAUGUACAACAUGACUAGCAUGUGAUAUUUUCAAAUUAAUUAGGUUACCGGCAAUGAACAUGCUGCAGGUAUGUUAAUUUAAUUGAUUAAUUAAGCUCAUAAAGGAAUUUUUGUGAUGAACUAUGAAAGAUAAAUGAGCUGGAUUUGUAUUAUGGUCAAGAAAAUGGUAUUGCAGGUCAUAAAAUCAUACUAUAUGGGAGCAAUUAAUAUGGCUAACUAAGUCCACUCUAGUUGUUUAGAAAUAGAAACUAUAGCUGAUGAAUCACAGCUAAUAAACAACUACUAGAUGGUGAUUGAGUAGGGUACCUCUAGUACUAUUUGUGUUUUGUUAAAAUUAACAUCUCAACAAACAUAGCAACAAGUGACUUAUUUUCUUUUCAAUUAGAUAUUGAGAUUAAAGUUUAAAGGUUGGAGAAGAAAUUGACUUGAAGUUACUAUGAUAUGAAAUUUGAAGUGAAACCAUGAAAAGUUGCAGCAGCAAUAGAAUAAAAAUUAAUUAGUGGAAGACAGAGCAUCUAAUGAAAUGCCUUCUUUUAACAAGUUGCUUUGACUUUUUGCAUAGUUCCAUGUGAAACAUGAUGGAUGUAUGUUUGAGAUAUGACUUGGCCAUAAAUGUAUAAAGAUUAGGAAAUGUUAACUUGUGUCUAUAACUAAUUUAUCAUUUAAAAAACUUAUUUUAUAAAAGAUAUUAAAAAGUUAUAAAUAUUUCAUACUAAUACAAGCUUGAUCUUAGCCUCAAAUGCCACUUUAAAAUCAAAAGUUUGAAAUUCAAAUUGUGUUUUUUUUUCAAGUUAAAAAAAGAUUGUACCUAAGGAUAAAACUUAUUAAAUCUCAAUAAAAAUAGAGUUAAAAUUAUAAAACAUUGUCUCAAGAUACCCAUAAUUGUGUUAGAUGACCCACUCUGACUCUAUUUUUUUAUAAGAUGCAAAUAACCUUAAAAAUUAAGUUCGAAAGCCCAUAUUUUUCACGAGGAUGAAUCAUCUCGUUCUCUAAUUCUCUUCUUCUCCCUCCUUCUCCAUUUUGUAUAUUUUUCUCUCUAAAUUUGAGAGAGAAGAUCAAAAGAGAGAAAAAAAAGGUGAGAGAAUAUCAAGAGAGAGAAAUACACAAAAUGAAGAAAGAGAGGAGAAUGUGAGAAUAAAAUAAUCUAAAUCUAUUAUUCAUUUACUCAUUCUACACUUCAUUUUCUCUCUCUAUAUCUAUCAUCCUAACACAUCAUUGUUCUAUCAUAUCUAUCAAAUUAGUCUAUUUAUUUCUUCCUCUCUUAGUGGUAGAUUAGUUAUUGGUGUCUAAAAAUUAUUUUCCCAAAUUAAAGGGCUUGUAUGCAAUUUUUCAUGCUUUAAAGUAUGCUAUUAAACCACCUAUAGAGUAAGUACACCUUAAAUAAAAGUAGCAUAUUUAAUAAAUUGAUAAAAAUAUAAAGUUACUUCCUUUUCAAAAUAUUGUACGUAUUUGUAAAAGAAAAUAUAUCUUGUACCCAUUAAAGAAAAAAUCCUCGAAAAAAGUACUACUAAUGGAGUACAAAUUUCAAAAUCUGGUGUCACUUUUGGAAUUGCAUGGCAUAGAUGUGCGUCACGCAGUCAAACGAGAUGUCAUCUUUCAUUUUUUAUGACCGCUAUUGUCUGACCAUUUUUUAACUAUGGUAUGCCAUGUUAAUUAACUUACUUAAAUGUUUAUUUGAGUUUUAACAUACUAAAUAAGUCAUGAGACAUAUAUUUAAAUAGAUUAUAACAAAAUUAAUAUAUCAAUGAGAUUAUGCAUCAUUUUGAUAUUUAACAUAAUAUUUUAGAGAAUAUGACUUAUAGGAUAUCAUAUUUCAUGACCACUUGUUGGCUCAUGUGGACAUGGAGAAAGAAAACGAUUUUUUGAAGAGGAUUUACAACAACCGAUUAACCAUGUCUUGACGAUCUAGAAUUUUACUAGAGAGAUAGACUUGUGUUCGACUCAACCGCAUCAUCGCAAUCUUCAAAGAAAUGAGAUGAUCGAUAAAGGUUGAAUAAAAAUCAACAAUGAUGAUACUUGUAAAUGAUAUGAUCCACUCUUUCGCAACUCUAAAAGGAGAUGGUGAAAAGGUUGAAUAAAAUCUAAAAUAAUAACAGAAAUAAAGAAAUAUAAUUCACAUUUUUUUAAGUAAAUCGCUAUAUAGAUGUUUUUUUUUUAUAUAUAUAUAGUUUGAUUCAUAUAGCUAAAUACACUUCAAAAACAAAAUGUAUGUCUAAGUUUUUUUUCACCCUUUUUCGGUGGAUAUGUCUACGAGCCUAUGUUAAAUGUAACUUUACAAGAGCAUUAUAACCAUCAAAUAAUAUAUAUUAGUUAUAGUUUAGUUAGGUACAUUUAAAAACCAAUGAUGAGUUAUUGGGGCACUAGACGAAGCAAUUCCUUGCAAGAUAUGUAUCCUUAGAUCCCAUCACUUUUAAUUUGUUUAUACAUGCUUUACUACCCUUUUGUAUUGUAGGUACUACACCACAAAUAAUGCAACUUAAUUAUAUUCCACAAUCCUAUUCAUCCUUUAUAAUAAUUUUCAACAUUAAUCUAUAUUAAUCAAUUUCUCCCAUACCUGGGAAGUUUCCCUCAAAAUAGUUUUGUAAUAUAUGGAAGAUCAGAGCCACAUUAAUUAAGAGUUUCAAUCUCAUUAUACUAUAUUUUUGUUUAAGAAAAUCAACUUAUAAUUAAUGGAAGAUGAGAAGUCAAACACACAAUUGAAAUCUAAAUCUGAAUAUAUGCAUAAAUUAGGGCAUGAAUGAUUUUAAUAAUAGUGCUUAAGAUAUUAUUGUUUGAUACUUGUAAGUUGUUGACAAACAUAUGAAAAUGAAGGGAGGUGAAGUUGCCACUUGCCAGGUAGGUGUUGGCAAUCAUGCAUGGGGGGGUGGUGAGUGAGUGGGGGUGAAGUGCAUAUAUGCAAAACGUUACUUCUUUGCUUUGUGUUUGGAUUUGGAAGUUGUAACAGAAAUCAAAUAUGAGAUAAUGCUUAUAAUUCAUAAAGCUUGUGUAAAAGCACCUAAGUUGUUGUUUCUUUUCUCUUUCCCUUUCUCCUUAAGCCAAGUAAUCCCUUUUUUCUAUUUAUGAAAUAGAAAGGUUGCUUCAUAUACUCUUUCUUAUAGGACUAUAAUGCUAAAUUUGUUAGAAAACAAUGAUCACUAAUUGACGAAUCAAAAUAUUUUUAUCAUGAUGACAUUAGUUAUCUUGGAAUUGAUUUCAAAAAAUAAUCAAAAUACCAUUGUUAUUUUGAUUAAUACCACAGUUUGAUCUUUGGUUCAAUUAUGACAUCAUUGUAAUGAAAGAUGAAAAUAUGAACGAAAAUCUCAAAAAAAAAAAAAUGUUGGCUUAGUAAUUGUUUGGUUUUGCAUUUUCUACUUCUUUUACACAUUUACAGGUUCCAUUGGCUUUUUCACCGUGAUUUGUCAAUGAUGCAAGCUUUCACGUCAACAUGAAAAUUCAUCGUAGUUUUGAGAAACAUGUUUAGUUUAUGUUUGAUCUUUUUUUCUAUAAUGGCUGAAGUUUGAAUCUUAAACCUUGUAUAUUUUAUGCAUUGUUUCAACCAACUGAAUUAAGCUCACGAUGACAGUUUAUGUUUGAUCUAACAAAAUGAUUUUGCCAAAUUCAAUACGAACUUGACUAUACACUUAACAUAUGAGUAUUUAUUUUUUUUGCUACCAUCCCGAUUAGCCUUUUAAUUUUAUGAUGCAACGCCGAUUAGCUUCUCACACAUACACCAUUUUUUUUGGUCAUAAAAAGUUUAUUUAUUUUUUAUUAUGGUUGGUAUGACUUAUGAUGGCAAGCAAUGCAUGCAAUGGGAAUGAAGCUUUGUCCCUUCUCGUUUGGCUUUAAAAAUAUCACAAAAAACGCGUUUUCAGCAAUCAAACCAAACACACCUUUACCAAGCUCAAAUAUUCAGUCGCUGUUAAGUUGUUAUGAACAAAAUAAUUAAUUAAAUUUUAUAUCAACACAUAAAAAAUAUGAAAAAUCGUUAAUCGAUAAUUUUUUAUCACACAAAUUAUGUUUUUCUUUUUAGGAAAUACACAAAUUAUGUUAUUAGUAAUUUUAAAACUAGAGUGUCUGAUUUCAUUACAUUACAUAUAGAAAGGGAACAACAAUAAAGGAUAUGAUGGAAUAUGACGAAGAGGAAUACUCCAUCGGCUUACAAUAAAUGUUCUCUUUUACUCUUACAUUUUUUUUUUUAACAUUUGUGUAAUAAUCAAAUGAUUUACUUAAGACAAAGAGAGUAUUAUCUCCGUCCCUGAUUAUAAUACUCUUUUGCGAAAAAAAAUUGUCCCUUUUUAUAAGAUCCUUUUCAAAUACAUUAAUUAUUUUUUUACCAACAUACCUUUAUUUAUUUUGCAUCAUUUUCUUCAAUCAAUAAUAAAUACUCCCUCCGUCCUAAAUUGUAUGGCGUUUUAGGCAUUUCACAUAUAUUAAGAAAUGCAAUUAAUAUUGUGUGGAAAAUAAAUAUUAUAAGUUGUUUUACAAAAUUGUCCUUAAUAAAUAAUAUGGGAAAGAUAAAUGAAAGAAUUGGAAGAAGAGAGAGUAAUAAAUAGUUAAGAUUAUAAUAGGAAAAAUAACAUUAAAAUUGCAUUGGUAUUGUAAAGCGACAUAUAAUUUAGGACAAAUAUUUUUCCCUAAAGCGACAUACAAUUUGGAACGGAGGGAGUAUUAUGUUGAAAAUAUAAAUUAACUCUCUCUUAAAGAUAAAAUUGUAAAAACAAUAAUAAUUAUAUAUAAAUUUAAUACUACAACCAACUUUUUUAAUUUGCAUAAUUUUUACAAAAAAUUCCUAUAUUUAGAGACGGAGGUAGUACUUGUUUAAGAACAAACUUAAAUUAGAAAAAUUUGGACACGUUGAAAGAGAUAUUUUUUUUAAACAAAAAAUGGUUCUGAUCUUACUAACUUAUUUAUCUUUUAAUUUCUUUUAUUGUUGUAUGUCCAAAUAAUUUAAAUUAUGAUUGUGCAUAUAAGGACUAACUCGACGGAUAAUAUUAGAUUAUUGAAAUACAAUAAAAAAAUAUUAUAAAAAAGAAAUGAACACAUAGAGAGAGAUGAGGUUAAGUCAAAAUAAAUGAAAAAGGAAUUUUAUUGGAGGGUGAAAGGACAAAAAGUGGGUCCCAAAAUUGUCUGAAAAAGUUGGUCCUACUAAAUUUCGCUCUAUCCAACAACACUUACACCCUCCACUCCUCACAUUUUUGAAUGUUUAUAAAUGCACCUGCAAACCACUUCCUUUUUGCCACAACAAAGAUUAAUUCAAACACUACAUUUUUCAUUAAUUCCCAAAACACACACAAAAAAACAAACUCUCUCUCUCUAAAAACUUUUUCUUCUUCCUUUCACACUUUUCAAUACAAAAAGAAGAAGAAAAAAACAUUGUUUGAAAAACAGAACAAAAGUUGAAGAAACACACAACACAACAUUUAUGUUUUUUUCUCUCUCUCUAUACAUUGAAGCAUAGAAUAAAGUGUAAAAAAAACCACUUUUUCUUUACACUAUCAUGGCCUUCAAGCUCAAUGUGUUGCUAUUGUUCAUACUUGCAAGUUCAUUGAUUGGUUAUGGUGAAGCUUCUGUAUCAUAUGAUCAUAAAGCUAUCACCAUUAAUGGACAAAGAAGAAUACUUCUUUCUGGGUCUAUUCAUUACCCUAGAAGUACUCCUGAGGUAUUUUCAUCAAAUGUGUUUCUGGGUUGUUUUUAUUUUGUGUUUUUAUCAAAUGGGUUGUUUCAAGUUUCAGCCUUUGUGAAAAAAAGAUGUUUUUUUGUUUGUUUGUUUUGUUUGGAUUACUGAAUUUAAGGUUGUUUUUGUUGUUGUUUUAGAUGUGGCCAGAUCUUAUCCAGAAGGCUAAAGAAGGAGGAUUGGAUGUGAUUCAAACCUAUGUUUUCUGGAAUGGACAUGAACCUUCACCUGGCAAAGUAAGAAUGAACAUUAAACAAUGUUUGUUUUGCUUGUAGUGUAAUUUGAACUAAUCAUUUUUUUUUUUUUUUUUUUUGUGUUUUUUAUUAUUGAAGUAUUAUUUUGAGGGGAACUAUGAUUUGGUGAAGUUCAUAAAGUUGGUGCAUCAAGCAGGCCUCUAUGUUCACUUGAGAGUUGGUCCUUAUGCUUGUGCUGAAUGGAAUUUUGGGUAAUAAAAUAGUUUAAUAUUAAUUUCUUUUUUUACUUAAACAAAAAUUAUGGUUACUUGAAAUUUUUGUUAACAGUUUUACCUUAUUGAUUUUUGUUAAGAGUUUUACCUUAUUCAUUUUUGUAGAGGUUUCCCUGUUUGGCUCAAGUACAUUCCAGGUAUCAGCUUCAGAACAGACAAUGGACCAUUUAAGGUAAUAUAACUGUUACAAUAAUAUCUUUAAGAAUCACUCUAUAAAUAGAAAAAAUAUAUUAAUUUGAUGUUGUUACUUUACCCUCCCAAUAACUUAAUUUGACUUUUGUUUAAUGUUUUUGUUUGGUGAAGAUUCAAAUGCAAAGAUUUACUACCAAGAUUGUGAAUAUAAUGAAAGCUGAAAGGUUGUAUGAGUCUCAGGGUGGUCCAAUAAUUCUAUCUCAGGUAAAGAUGUUAAUCUUGUUACUUUCUUUGUAUUUUCUUGGCGGUAUUAAAUAACAAUGUUAAUCUAGUUACUUUACUAGUUGAAGAAAAAAUGGAGAUAUAUAAUGAAUAUAUUGCCUUUUGGUACCAUUGUUUAUGCACAGAUUGAAAAUGAAUAUGGACCAAUGGAGUAUGAACUUGGUGCUCCUGCUAAAGCCUAUACUCAGUGGGCAGCACAUAUGGCUGUAGGACUUAAUACUGGGGUUCCAUGGGUCAUGUGCAAACAAGAUGAUGCUCCUGAUCCUGUUGUAAGUUAAACUGACAUGUAACCUUUUACAGAAAAAUAUUUUUACCUUUUUUAAACUUGUAGAUUGUAAAUGUUGAGUGUGAGAGGUGUAACUAAGAAAAUGAUAGAAAGGGAAGAGAAAAUAAAAAAGAAAUGAUGUGAUGAUAAGAAAGUAAAAGAGAGAUUGAAAGGGAAAAGGGGUGUUAAAGGAGGGAAAUGGACUUCCUACUGUAACUGUAUCAUUGUGUUACAUAUCUGGACCGUCCGAUCUCGAAUCAAUGUUUGAUAUCGUUUACAAUUAAUUUACUGACGGUGUAAUUUGAAUGGUCCGAUCUCUAAUCAAUGACCGAGAUUGAUUGCCGGUUGAACUGGGUGAUAUCUUUACAGCAGGCAAUCCGGGUCCGUAAAAGGAGAUGUAAAUGAAAAGAGUUUGAAAAAUUAAUAUUAUUCCUCCUUGUGCAUGCAUGACUGAUAUUUUCACUUGUUUAGUCCUUUAAAAUCUUUCAAUUCCAUUCUCAUCAUCAUGUCUAGUUUUUCAGCAUCACAACUUUAAUGAAAUCAUUACCCUACAUGCAUGUGGUUAAAAUUCAAAAUUUGACACUAGUCAAUUUCCUGUUUUUUUUAGCAAAGGAGAGAUAAACAUAUUUAUAUAUGCUGAAGAAAUAUUGUAUUUUUGCAUGUAAAUCCAAUUUUUCCAGAUAAUGUUGUGUCGACUUUGAGUCAAUGUCAUUUUCCAGCUUCUAAUUCCAGUGUAAAAUUUUGCAGAUUAAUACUUGUAAUGGUUUCUAUUGUGAUUAUUUCUCUCCAAAUAAGGCUUACAAACCAAAGAUGUGGACAGAAGCUUGGACUGGCUGGUAUAAAUAAAUUUGUAACUCAUAUUUAGUGCCCUGGUAGUGGUACUUAUUUUUCUUAAGGAAAAAGAAAAAAAAUCAUUGCUUUUUUUCCUUUGUUAACCUUGUAGGUUUACCGGCUUUGGAACUCCAGUUCCUCAUAGACCUGCUGAAGACUUGGCAUUUUCAAUUGCAAGGUUUAUACAGAAAGGAGGAUCCUUUAUCAAUUAUUACAUGGUAACUUCAAUAUUCGUUGAUUCCAGAGUGUCCGUGUAUAGAUUCACUGUUUUUUUAAUUCAACUAAGCUCUUUUGUUUUGUUCUUUUCAGUAUCAUGGUGGAACAAAUUUUGGAAGAACCGCUGGUGGUCCUUUUAUUGCCACAAGCUAUGAUUAUGAUGCACCUCUUGAUGAAUACGGUAUGUGCUCAACAUUCAAACAUCUAUCUAUAUCUACAUAUAUUAAGUGAAAACCAAGCUUUUUUCUUCUUUAUUCCAUGCAUUGUAUUAUAUUAUUAUUUUCGCUACGCAGGGCUUCUAAGGCAACCAAAGUGGGGUCAUUUAAAGGAUUUACACAGAGCAAUUAAACUCUGCGAACCUGCUUUAGUUUCUGCAGAUCCUACUGUAACUCGUCUUGGAAACUAUCAAGAGGUACAUCUCAAAUUGAGUUAUUGUAAAUUUUUGAAUUACUAUCUAGAUUUCUGUGUAAUUGGAAGAAAUAUUUACCUUUCGUGGCUGAUGUACAGGCUCAUGUCUUUAAAUCAAAAUCUGGAGCUUGUGCUGCAUUCCUUGCAAACUACAAUCCACGAUCUUAUGCAACAGUGUCAUUUGGGAACCAGCAUUACAACUUACCUCCUUGGUCUAUAAGCAUUCUUCCUAACUGCAAGCACACUGUUUAUAACACUGCAAGGGUGAGGAAAAAAUAGAACAAACUUUCAUUUUCAUUGACCAAGUAGCAUAUUUCAGCAACAAUGAUGAUUUUUAAGUUUCGAAAUCUUUGUAUAGGUUGGUUCGCAGAGCGCACAAAUGAAGAUGAGCCGCGUUCCUAUUCAUGGGGGGCUCUCUUGGCAAGCAUUUAAUGAAGAGACAACCACUACCGAUGAUAGCUCCUUCACUGUGACUGGCCUGUUGGAACAGGUUAAUGCAACCAGAGAUUUGUCGGACUAUUUGUGGUACUCUACAGAGUGAGUCACAUAUAACUUGGCAGCAUUGUUGAUAUAUUUAUUCAUUUUGGUUUCUUCUUAUUGAUUACUUAUCUUGUUCCCUUUUUUGUUGCUAGUGUUGUGAUCAACUCCAAUGAAGGAUUUUUUAGGAAUGGAAAGAAUCCUGUUCUUACAGUAUUAUCUGCUGGUCAUGCUUUGCAUGUUUUUAUCAAUGGUCAGCUGUCAGGUCAGUAGCAAAUCCUCAGCGUAUACCAUUUCAACAACACCAGUUAUUUUGACUACUAAAACUAUUCUCGCUUCAGACAUAUUGCAAUCUCGCUUCAGAAAUAUUGAAAAUAAGUAGUUGAUAUACACACACACACUCACACACUUUUGAGAAUUCACUGAAUCAGACUGUUACAUGUAAUAAUAUAUCAAGAUAUGAUCUAUUAAUCAAUGCUCCCAUUCAAUUUCAUCUUCAAUAUAUUGAGCCUAUUUUUUAUCCUCUUUUGACCAGGAACUGCAUAUGGAAGUGUGGAUUUCCCCAAACUAACCUUUAGUGAGAGUGUGAAGCUUAGAGCUGGUGUUAACAAAAUCUCCCUUCUAAGUGUUGCAGUUGGACUUCCGGUUUGUUUUCUCCCUCCUCUAUUUGUGUGAUCACACGCGCGUUUCUAAAAUUAUGAACCGGUGUCGAUGUCAUGGCUAUGUCUAUGUUAUUCACUUGGUGUCUUUAUAUACAGAAUAUUGGCCCACAUUUUGAAACAUGGAACGCCGGUGUUCUUGGUCCAAUUUCAUUGAAUGGUCUCAACGAGGGAAGAAGGGACUUAACAUGGCAGAAAUGGUCGUACAAGGUACUUCAAACACUCACCGCGCUAUCUCAUUUUCCAUCUUUGCUUGAGUUUGCUUGAGAUUCAUUUGAAUGCAUGUUUUGUUCAGGUUGGUCUUAAAGGAGAAGCCUUGAGUCUUCAUUCUCUUACUGGAAGUUCCUCUGUUGAUUGGCUCCAAGGAUAUUUAGUUUCACGCAAGCAGCCAUUGACUUGGUACAAAGUGAGUAUCAUUAUUCCUCAAUAACCCUGCAGAAGUUUCAGAAAAGCAUAUGUUUAUGUUUUGCUUUAGUGCCUAUUGAUAUUGAUCCAUUCCUCUUAAUCAUAUUGAUCCAUUCCUCUUAAUCUACUCUUUAAUUAUUAUUCUUAUAAAUGUUAAUGCAUUAUAUGCUAUUACAGACAACUUUUGAUGCCCCGGCUGGAGUUGCACCUUUGGCCUUAGACAUGAAUAGCAUGGGAAAAGGUCAAAUGUGGUUAAAUGGACAGAAUUUGGGACGCUACUGGCCUGCUUAUAAAGCAUCUGGUUCUUGUGAUUAUUGCAAUUAUGCAGGAACCUAUAAUGAGAAAAAGUGUGGAUCCAACUGCGGCGAGGCUUCUCAACGAUGGUAAGAAAUAUGUCAUACAUAGCUUAUUUAAUAGUUUUGUUUAAUGCUGAUGAGAAACACCAGAUGAACUAAUCACUGACCAAUGUUUUCAGGUAUCAUGUUCCUAAAUCUUGGCUGAAGCCAACAGGAAAUUUGUUGGUUAUGUUUGAGGAAUUGGGAGGGGAUCCAAAUGGUGUGUCUUUGGUUAGAAGGGAUAUAGAUAGUGUUUGUGCUGAUAUUUAUGAGUGGCAGCCAAAUCUUGUUAGUUAUCAAAUGCAAGCUUCUGGUAAAGUUAAGAUACCUGUGAGUCCAAAAGCACAUUUGUCAUGUGGUCCUGGACAAAAAAUAUCAUCAAUCAAAUUUGCUAGCUUUGGCACUCCAGUCGGGUCUUGUGGAAACUACCGCGAAGGAAGCUGUCACGCUCACAAGUCAUAUGAUGCCUUUCAAAAGGUAUUUUUAUUUGUUCUAUUUUUCUAGGAUGGUUUCUUUUUUAUUGUGGAUAGGGUGCUCUAGCCAGACACUAAUUUGACACAUGAAAAACAUCACUCUUUAUUAUUAUUAUAUUUUUUUUCUUCCUGAUUUAAGAAGUUAAAAUAUGCAGUUUUAAUGUUCUAUCCAUCAAUAUUUAUGGCCCUUUUUUCUCAAUACGUUCUAUUGAGUAUGACUCAUAGUUUACUGAUUAGUGGCUAGGUCGCUCGAGCCUAAAUAAUUUGUAACCCUAAGCUUGUAAGCCGGACUAUAAUAUUUAAACACAAGUUGUUAUUGGUAAACCUAAGUUUGAAUAAUAGAAAAUCACCGCAACCACUCUGCAGUUGGAGACGUAGUAGGAACAAUUGGCCGGACACUGAUCCAAUCUUGUGUGUUCUCUGUUUGUGUUUUUCAUAUCUGUUUUCUUUAGAACCAAAGUUGUUGUUCUAACUCAUUCUUUAUUGUUACAGAAUUGUGUUGGUCAAAGUUCGUGCACUGUGACAGUGUCACCUGGAAUUUUUGGAGGUGAUCCAUGUCCACAUGUUAUGAAGAAACUCUCAGUAGAGGCUAUUUGCACCUGAUGAUUUUCUACCUUAGAAAAUAAAUUGAACAAAGACUCCAGAAUAUAUUUUUUCUUAUGCAAUUCAAUACAGGUUUUUGGGUCAAAUACAAGUCUACACUUCAAGAUCACCGCUGGCAUUGAAUUUGGCUUUACCAAGGUGAAGUUGCAGAUAAACACAACACACCAACUGGUUGAAAAGCCUAUAGAGAAUUGUUGUGAUGAUUGUGGUUAUGUGUGUAUAUAUAUAUUGGUGUUUCAACUUGUUAUACAAAGGUGAAGGAAGAUGAAAAGUUGGUUGAUGAUGCACAUUGAGACGACACCAAUUGGAGUCCAUGUGCUGCAAAUUGGUUUUUGUUUGCGUGGAAGUCUCUUGCUUCCUGUAAAACUAUUGUUGUCUUUCCUUGUAGAUUCAUGGAGAAAGCAAUUUAGUUACUUUUUCCUCCUUAUGUAAGAAAUUUUCCAAUGUAAUAAGAUCAGAUAUGUUAAAUUAAGUAAUGUUAUGGUAUUAUGCUUUUAACUCCUUGUUCUUUCUUUUUCCUUCAUUCUGCCAUGUCUUGGUUUCCACCAAUUAUAUUUCUGCUGUUGAGAUAUUAAAUUGCUGUCUUCCUUCUACAUGGUAUAGAACUUAGGUUGAUAUGAAGAAAAAUCGCCCCUCCUCAUCGAUUAUUCCUCCUACCUCCCCGUAUCGUGAUGCUAAAACUCUAUACCACAAACUCCUAUUUUCAACCAUAAUCCUCCAACACCAUUUAACACGUAACGCCAAAUUAAACUCCCUUAUCCUCCGCACCCCCAAACCUCUGUUCUCUUUUUUGGAACAAAUAAUGUCCCAGUUAAUCCAAGAAAUUUUCCUAACCUCCUCACACCACACCCCCCCCCCCCCCAUAGAUUUAAUAGAGGAAAUGAUACCUCCCAUAUCUCUCUNCAAAUAAUGUCCCAGUUAAUCCAAGAAAUUUUCCUAACCUCCCCCAAAAAAAAAAAAAAAAUUAAAAAUAGAUUUAAUAGAGGAAAUGAUACCUCCCAUAUCUCUCUGUUACGUUUUUUAUUUUGUGAUUUCGUCGUCUUCGUGCGACGUUGGUUAGUUCGUCGUCUUCGUGCGACGUUGUUUGUCUUUCUUGUUUCUCUCAAGUAUUUGAUCGGUUCAGAUUGUCAGAUCAGCUUCGAUCUAGUGCAGAUCCAAUCAAUAACUUUGCCGUCAUCCACGUUGCAGAUCCGGAGACAUGGCUAUUCCGGAGAUUUAAAUAUAGUCAUAUGUGUAGCCAUUUGUACCUUGUCGUUUUAUGCUAUUAGCAUGGGUGUUGUGAGCAUGUUCACAGAUUCAUCAUUUUUGUUUUUAGCGAAUUUAUAUUAUAUCGAUGUACUCUAUCAAUUUGAAUGAAUGAAUAUCAUUUAUUUUUGUAGAAAAAAAAAAAACUAAACGGAAUUUUUUUAUUCAGGUAUAA
RNAcentral lists this long non-coding RNA (73507 nucleotides) under Medicago truncatula (barrel medic). RNAcentral describes it as "long non-coding RNA (MTRU_LNC005910)". The stretch from base 35474 to 35586 matches the Rfam family "MIR2593 microRNA precursor family". The record is from RNAcentral. Lineage: Eukaryota; Viridiplantae; Streptophyta; Magnoliopsida; Fabales; Fabaceae.